UUAAUCAAAAGCCCCAAAUAACUUUGCAUGUAAUCAUGAAAGAUCCCUUCACUGAAAGCAUGACAAAAACCAACUAUAUAGUGUUACAUUCUGUAACAAUUAAAUAAAAGUGGAUGCCGCCGCUGUAGAAGGUUUUGUCGUACUCUGCCGUCGGUCGAAGUCUCUACCACCACGUCAAAGGUUGUCAGAACACUUCUUCUUUUGCUGGAAAGUGAAGCAAAGGGAUAUCACUUUUCAACCCAAAGGUAGGAACGUUUUUCUUUUUCCUUUCAAAAAGGAUAAACAAUUGUUGAGUGCUUUGUGUAUUAUUAUUGCAGAAUUUGGCUUAGUAAGUUGUUAUGCAAUUUCUUUAUUGACUUCUUCAUCUUCUUUCAUCUUCUUUGGCUUAGUAAGUUAUUGAAUAUGACUCGCGGCAUAAAACACCGGAAGAAAGCCAAGAACAAAAACAAGGUUAAAUCUCCUUUCCUAUUCAAAGCUGCUUAUUAUUAUUAUUGUAACCUUGCUUCAUUGUGGUCUUUUGUGGAUAAUUUUAGUUGUUUUUGUUUAUUUUUGUUUAAAUUUAUGGAAAAAAUAUCAGGGCUCUAGGAAAGAGGGUGGGUCUUCUUCAUCUUUGGCUCCACAAAUUCCAGCUAAGGUGUGGCAACCUGGGGUGGACAAGUUAGAGGAAGGUGAAGAGCUCCAGUGUGACCCUUCUGCUUACAAUUCUCUUCAUGCUUUUCACAUUGGAUGGCCCUGUUUGAGGUCUUUUUCCUGGCUCUUAUUUCUGUUCAGUCAUUUGUGUUAUUUUUUUUUUUUUUUUUGUUUGAAUCAGUAGUGAGAAAAACUGAGCUUAUUUUGAUAAACUAACCUGUUUUUCUUUUUCUCGUAUUGUUGUGUUUGAUAACACUGAAACCAUAAAUUGUUAUGUAAAGUUCCUUUCGAGUUGAUAUUGCAAUUCAAUUGAGAAUCUUGGCCAACUUUACUGUGCGUUUGCUUUACUUUCUGCUUAUUAUUGUUAAUCUUUUAUUUUUGGUUGUCAUCAGUAAGUAAUCUUCUAUUUAUGUUUUGGGACUUGACAGCUUUGAUAUUCUACAUGAUUCUCUGGGUUUGGUUCGAACAGAAUUUCCACAUACAGUAUAUUUCAUGGCAGGGACUCAGGUCAGUGUUGUUUCUUAUAUUUGUUUUUGUUUGAGGAUGUUUGAUUAUUCAAAUUGAACGUGGUUAGUAUUCAUGAGCAAUAUCACAUGGGGUAGCAUAUAUUAGGCUUUGUGGUUAUGAGAGAACUUUUCCUUUAGAGGACUUUUGAGUUUUAAAAACAAUAAUUUUUCUUUAUUAUAAUUGGUCAUUAUUUUGAGAAGAGUUAACACAUAGCAACUAAUAGUUAUUUGGUCCACUAGCUUUGCUUCCUUUGUCUUUUUUCGUUUGCUUCUUUUGAUUGAGACUCAUGUUACGGCAAUGCAUGAAGCACAGGCAGAGAAACCUUCUUGGAAUUCUAUUGGAAUUUUUAAAGUAUCAAAUAUUUCUGGAAAGAGACGNGAACCGGUACCUAAAGUUNAAACUGAUGACUCUGGAAUGGAUGNNGAGGAUAGUGAUAGUGAUGAUGAUAGUGAGGAUGAAGAUGAAGAUGUUGCCCAGGGUCCCAGUUUGCAGGUACAUUUCUCUUCAUUUUAGUAUUUAUUGUUUCAUUUGUUCACUGCUUUAGAUUUGAUUAUUCUGUCCUUUNCAUUCUUUUGUUAACUACAGUUACGGAAGGUUGCACACCAAGGAUGUAUCAACCGUAUACGCUCCAUGCCACAAAAUCCCCAUAUAUGUGCAGCUUGGGCUGAUACCGGUAAUGUACAGGUUGGACUUUUAAACCCUUUGAUUUGAUUUUCUAAUUUGUCAUAAAUUUCAAGAAAACGUUUCCUUGUACUUUUGGAAUUAAUGUGAUUCGGCAAUUUUCAUUGUUAUGUGAUAAAAUGAAUGAAACUAAAACUGCUAUAUAAUGGAAAAGUGUUGUUUCAUAGUCAUACAUAUCAACUUUGUUUUAAGACAGUGUAAUGGUAAAUGUUCACGAAAUGGCAUGUGGCUAAGGCUAAGAUUGACUAUUAUCUUUGUUGGAAUCAUUAUCUAUAGGUGUUAUCAUUUAGGCUAGUCUGCAGAAGUCUAAUGGUUUUUUUACCUAGUUCUGUUCCUAGUAGUCUAGGACAGUCUCUUGACCUUCUAUCUCCCUAUUGUAUCAUCUCUUUGUUAUUAUAAAUAGCAGAACAUGAGAGGGAUAAUUAAGCCCUCAAGAUUAUAUUUUUAUCAGUUUUAAUCUCAAGUAAGCCAUAGUAUUUUAUGGUUUUGGAUGCUAUUCCUAGUUACAUUACACUACAAAUUCUGUUUUAAGUUUUCUGAGAAGUAUGGAUUGGACCUUGACUAAGGAAAUAUUUGGUAAAAUUGCUAGUGGUUUCCUAAAUAAGUAAUUAGAUUAGUUUUCUUAAUUUACUCAGAAAUGAAUUUAGAUUCAAGCUGUUAAUGAAAUGAGCUCUUAUUUGGCGCUUUUAAGCUCUUCUGCAGUGUCAAAAUUUUCCUUGAUGUUAUCGGAAGGGUUAUUUUAAUUUUGCAAUUAUCUUCCAAAAAUGCAACUAAGACAAAGGUUCAUAAAGGGAAUGGGCGAAGUAUAUUAUUUGAUGGUUCAAGUUCUUUUCAGCUAGUUCUCUUGUCCAGUUUUGUUUUAAAUGCUGUUAGUUGUCCAUGAGUUGACAUCCCAGAUUUUACUAAUGCUAGUUGAGCCAUUGUAUAAGUUCAGCAUUUCCACAAUGUUGAAUUAAGCAGAAUAGAGUAAAAGCUGCACAAAACCCCUAAAAGAUCUGUUUGAAUAAUUGAUGAUCUAUUAAAUGAAAUGCUGUAAGAGCCUGGAGUUGGGACUGAUUACUCACUGAAUAAUGAUUAUCUUCUAUUGUACAACAUUUAUAGUGUGGCUUGUUGUAUCUAGUAUGUCAUAGGCUGUAGCCUUUAUCUGUGAUUUCUUAGAAUUGUACUUUCACUUAGUCAGGCUUGUAUAUAUAAAUACAUCAGUGGAGAGCAUGAUAACUCACUGAUUUUCCAAAAUCUAAAAUUCUCAACUUGGUAUGAGAGCGGGUCUGAUCCCUGCUCUGCUGUCCUCACCAUCAAUUACUUUCGUAUGUUGUUGGAACCACUGUCUGUCACUAUUGCUGGAGCCCUUUUUUGCAGGCAACUUAAGGGUUGGUGUACGUCAUCAACCGUAACCUAACCCAAGCGGUCCAAGUCCAAACUCUUUCCCAUGCACUCUCAUGUGCCAAUAUUGUAGGCUGUUCUGUUAUGUGUAUGCAGCUCACAUGUCAGCCAACUGCCAUAGGAGAGAAUCUGUAGAACCACAUACAUCUUGUAGUACCAUGAGAAUUUGUGGAAGAAGCUUGACUUCCAGCUAAGUGUUAUAAUGUGAUAGUUUGUAGAACCACAUAUUUUUGGAAUUCAAAACGUUAAAACUUGUUCUUUUUGGAAAAAGGCUCAGUAUUUUUGCGAAUAAUAUAAAAUGUCUAUACAUCUUAGCCAAUAAACUAGAUCCUCUCGAAACAGAUUGUGGCAUGACCACUCAUCUAGCUCUAGCUGAAAUUGCUGUGGAAGAAUUGAACACAUUCUUAGAUAUUGAUUCAUUGGAAGGAUUAGAAGGAAAUUUGAAAGCUAUAUGUGGUGCUGAUCUUGCGGAGUUUGCUUUCAGACUUUGGUUACAUUCUUGAUCAAAUAUUGAUUGGCUAAGAUUCAUUCUUUGGACAGCUUAAUUAUAAGAUUUCUUGGGAAAGUUCAAUCAAAGUGGUUGAAUCCUUAGCAAUGGUAUCUUCUCGGGGAAGAGGUUGUGAAAUAAAGGAGGAAAAACAUCUUUCAAGAUGUUCUUAUUGCUACGAGAUGUCAUAUCCAAGGAAAUUGGGACAACAAAUUUGUCCGUGUCUGAAAAAUAUCAAGAAUAUAUUUAUCAAAACUCCAAAUAAAGUCUUGUCUUUCCUCUACUCCCAUAUUUUCAACGUGUGUUUCUCAGUCAUUUGCUAAUCAAAGUCCACAGAUUAUUCACUAAAGUGCUUCUGGUCACAUAGCUUGCUAGUAAUGAUUCUUUAGUUUCUUCCAACCUUGAUUAUGGUGAUGAUAACUCCUCUCAUGUGGCCAAAAUCACCACUAUUCUGCUUUUCCUUGUCAUAGAUACUAUUAUCUAUUGGUUGCUCCAUCAACUCGAUAUUAAAAUGCCCUUUGUUUAAUAUAGUAAAAACUAUGUAUGGGAUUAAUCUCCUUUGUGUUGAAUAUACACAUAGGGUCCUCUAUUUAUAAUAGAAGAAAUAUAGGCUUAGUCCAAAAUACAAAUAAGAAAUAAUAACAAACUAACUAAAGAUAAAAGAUAAAUAUAAAAUAAAGAUAAUAUAUCUAAUACCUUUUUUUCAUGGAGAUCCAGAAGAGAAGAUUUACACAAAGCAAUCUCUUGAGAUUGUUGCUCAAGGGAUUUGGCUUAAUUGGCAUGACUCACAUGCUAAGACUUGAAGUUUGCUAAGUUUGGUAAUCAUCCUUUUUAAUUUUUAUAAAUGUAGAUGACCCAAGCGAUCAUGUAGAAGCUUAGGAGAUGGUAAUGCUAAACAUGACAUUGACGGUCUAAUGCAUAGAUAGUAGAGUACCCUCUGUUCAUGCCCUUCACUAACAGUCUACUUGUACUGGGAUCUUGGAUAAUAAAAGAAUUUGCAUCAAAGGUUAUUGAACAAUGUAAAGAUUUAGUUAAUUGACUUAAGGAAAUUAGGUUAAAAGGACAAUGAAGGUGUUACGAUAUUAGGUGAUAGGAUGGGAGGAAGGGAAGCCGAACGGUAGGAGACAGGGUGAAGCAAGCCGAACGGUAGGAGGCAGGGGUACGCAAGCUGAAUGGUAGGAGAUAGGGGGAAGCAAGCUGAACGGUAGGAGGCAGAGUGAAGCAAGCCGAACGGUAGGAGGCACAGGUACACAAGCCGAACGGUAGGACGGAGGCGGAAGACCAAGCCGAAUGGUGGAAAGCGGGGAGAGGCCAAACCAAAUGGUGGAAGGCAGGGAGAGGUCAGGCCGAAUAGUGGUAGGCUGUGAGGAGUCGAGCCGAAUGACUGAAAAUGGUGAGAGCUCGAGCCGAACGGUGGGAAGCAACAAAGGACCUGAGCCGAACGGUUGAAGAAUUACCAUUCCAACUCUUGCAGAGGUUAGGAUGGGUGGGAACUAAUUACAGGAAAAGAAGCCACAUUCGAGAAUAUUCAGUAUAAGUUAAUUAUAGUAAAUAAAUAUAUAUAUUCUAGAGAAAUAUUCAAUAUAAGAUAUUUAUAAUUAAUGAUAUAUGCUAGAGAAAUAUACGGGGGGAUAUUUAUAUUAAAUAUAGGGAUAUCUAUAUUAAAUACAGAUAUAUUCUAGGAAAAUAUUUAGUAUGAGAUAGGCGGGAAAUAUAUUAGUAUAAAUAGAGCUACAGUCUAUUGUUAGGAGUAUGCUUUUGAUUAUUGAGUUUUUUUGACAGGUGGCUACGUCCUGUGAGGGAGGUUAUGCUCCCAAGUAAUUGAAGGAGGUUAUGCUUCCAAUUACCCUUGUUUACUUUUGUUUAUCCACAUCAAUAAAAGAAAUUCAUCCGUUCAAUUCCAUUCUUUCAUUAUUCUUUUGUUUGCUUUGAGUGUGUGAGAAGUUGUUUUGGUUAAGUUUCAUACUCAGGUACGUAACAGAGGGACAUAAAGAGCAUGCUUUAUGUUCAAAGUUGAAGAAAGGGAGAUUUGACCAAUUCCUUGAGAAGUAGCUUUGGAUCCACUAGCUAAAUUAAUAACAUGAGGAAUUUUAGGAUGAUAAAUGGAAGAAAAUAAGGAAGCAUUACUAGAAAUGUGAUCAAAAGCACUUGAUUCGAUUAUCCAAUAUCAAUAGACUUAUUAAACAUUCCAAGGUUUGAGAGAUGCAAGCUUUUGACAGUCUAGUGAAAGGGUGUGCUUUGCUUCCUGACUUCGAACUGAGUUAUUCUUGAUAUUCUUCGUUAGAAAAAUGUGGUUCAACCUUAUUGGAUUGGAAGAUGUUUGUUGUCUUGCUAGGAAAAGCAUUCAAGGAUAAACAUGUAUUUUGAAUGUGGCCAAUUCUUUUACAAAAGAGACAUUGAGGACAUUUGUAUCCCCACUCGGAAAAAGGAAGACAUUGCUAGCUACCUAUAUUAAAUACCUAUUAUAACAACUUCCUAUAUUCCAUACCUAUUUUAACAUUAACAUAAUUAAAUUUCUGAAAUUCUAAAAUUAUUAUUAGCAGAUAUGGUUAAACAUUGUGAAGUGUAUUUUCUGUCUUCUCUUUUAAUCAGAAAAUAUAUGUACCGUUCCCAGCCAUGCCUUCUUUUUAGUAUAUAGUUUGAUACUUGAGAACAAUUUGUAGGUCUGGGACCUAAGCUCUCAUCUCAAUGCUCUGGCUGAGACCGAAACAGAAGGUGUCCAAGGAGUUGCAGCAGUUUUUACUCAGGACCCAUUGCAUAAAUUUAAACACAAAGACGAAGGUUAUGCUAUAGACUGGAGUCUUCUUGUUCCUGGAAGGCUUGUAUCUGGUAAUCUUUAGUUCUACAUUUUUCAGUUUAUCUAUAUAUUUUUUUUUUAUUUUUCCCUGGUAUGUCUUCAUAUUUUGUGAUAUUUUUGUGAUAUUAAGCUUGACAACGAUCUUCAUUUUUAAGGGGAUUGUGAUAAUAGCAUUUAUCUGUGGGAGCCUACAUCUGCUGGAACAUGGAAUGUUGAUAAUGCUCCAUUUACUGGACAUACUGCUAGUGUUGAAGAUCUGCAAGUACGUGUACUAAUAUGCGUGGGAAUAGUUGCUCUCACAUUAGUAGUUUGUCUUUAUUUAUAAAUGUGAUAGUUGUAAUGUUCAAUUAAUCCCUGCAGUGGAGCCCUACAGAACCUCACGUUCUUGCUUCNUGUUCUGUGGAUGGAAAUAUUGCUAUAUGGGAUAUCCGUUUGGGGAAGUCACCGGCUGCNUCUUUUAAGGCACAUAAUGCUGACGUGAAUGUCAUAUCAUGGAACAGGUAUUGAUUAAUACGUAAUUCUAUGGUGUUCCAUGAAUUGCCAUUCCAGAUCUCUUCAUUGCUUUGUGUGCUAUAUUGUAAUGAACAGGUUGGCUAGUUGUAUGUUGGCCUCGGGAAGUGAUGAUGGGACUAUUUCUAUUCGUGAUCUCAGACUGCUCAAGGUAUAGGUUGUCAUCAUAACGAUUAAAAAGAUGGUAAACAUGCUUCAUUUAUAACGGGAAGUCUAUUGUGUGCAUGUGAUGUUCUCUUAUGUGGAUGUUGUUUCAUGUUAUGUUAUACCCGGCUUCCUUGUGUUGCAGUGUUCAUAUUACAUCAUUAUUUGUAAAGCUGUCAUCUGACUUUCUUUUCUCUUUUUUCGUUACCACAUCCAUCUUUUAUCUUUCAUUUUUAUACCUGUAAAUCCAUGUGAAGGACUGAAGAUGCAUUAUGGGGAAGAAAUAUUAUUGUGGGAAUGUGAUUUAGAAAGUAACUUUCACGAUGUUUAAUUUGUUUCAGCUUAUUGAUUUACUUUUUCUUGUUAUUAAAGCUGACAUGAAAAGAGCAUUUAUUUAUGGGCAGGAAGGAGAUUCUUUGGUAGCACAUUUUGAAUACCACAAACAUCCAAUCACAUCCAUUGAGUGGAGUCCACAUGAAGCCUCUUCAUUGGCUGUUUCAUCUGCUGAUAAUCAGCUUACGUAAGUACAACUUUUGAUACUAUUCACAGAGAUUUAGUGGGAAAAUAUCUUCAAACAUGUAAUACCUGACACGGAACUUUAUGGUAUCCUUUGAUCCAAAUAGCUGACUGACACGACUUGGUGGUAAAAUGCUUAGUUGUUUUUUUUUAAUCUUUGGUUUUGACCCUUUGCCCAGGACCUAAUCCUAUCUCUUUCUUUUUGCUACUUUAUUAUGAUGUGGGAUUUAAGAAGUUUUAUAACCUUACCUUUCACACAGAAUAUGGGACCUUUCAUUAGAAAAGGAUGAAGAAGAGGAGGCUGAAUUUAAAGCUAAAACCAAAGAACAAGUUAAUGCUCCUGAAGAUCUGCCUCCCCAACUAUUGUUUAUUCACCAGGUAAUUCCAAAUGCUCAACUCUGUUUAUCUGAAUGGUAGAAUAAACUCCCGCAUUAACUGUUCAUUUGUUUAUUUUUCCUUGAAUAAAAACAGGGACAGAAAGACCUGAAGGAAUUACAUUGGCACGCACAGAUUCCUGGAAUGAUUGUUUCUACAGCAGCAGAUGGGUUCAACAUACUUAUGCCUUCAAAUAUUCAGAGCACACUGCCAUCAGAUGGUGCUUUAUAAGACACACUCUCGUCAAGUUUUCAAGCCAACCGGUUACAACUUGGAUAAGCUGUUUGCAAUCCCCGUGAAUCUACUUGAAUAUUGGAGAAAGUUUCUUUGUACUCUUUUUUUGCUUUUGGUUCUUAUUGUUUCUUCUUCGCCCAUGCUUUAAGUUUUGUGGAUUAUAUGCUUCAGCUUGGUAUGCUUCACUUAACUUUGAUGCAAUUUUCGUGUAUGCUGUCUAAACUGAUGCUGAUAGUAAGGUUAGAAUGGAAAUUAUUAGUUUUGCUGUUGUGAUGUGGCUUUUCCGAUGUUUUUAAUCACUCGGUGGUGAUACUUAGAGUGUAUAGUGGAUAUUGGCUUCAAGGAUUUGUGGUGAAGUAAAGGUAGUAAAAGAAAUGGAACUUUUAAGUUUGUGAUAUUGAUCUGAAGUUUUUCUUUAGUUUCCAAUUUUUAAUUUAAUUGAGAUUGUACAAUCUGAAGUUCUCUUAAGAUUUUACAAUUUGGAACGAUAUAUGCAAAACAUUUGAGUUCCAAAUUAUCUAGUUCAGAAGUCAGAAUCGUGUGAUAUAUGCAAACAUUUGACUUCCAAAUCAUCUAAUUUGAAAGUCAGAAUUGAUUUUUGAAUUGUACAAUUUAAAUUAUACUUUGAAAGUUUAAAUUUAUUUUAAAUUGUAUAAUUCAUAAAUUAAAUUUGACUUCUAAAUUUUGCAACCUAAAAUAUAUAAGAAAUUUUGGAAUAUAUUUUAGACAGUACAAUGUAACACUAUAACACUAUAAUGUGUGAUUUCUCAAUUUCACAAUCUAAAAUAUAUUUUAAAAUUUUAAAUAUAUUUUAAAUUAUAUAAUCUAAACGUUAAAUAUAAAUAAUCAAGAAGUUAAAAGCUUGUAUAUUUUUUUUAAAACCUUUUUAAGUCAUAGUUUAUCAUUUAAUUGUAUCAACAAGGUUCAUUCGGUAUUGUUGGUUUAAAUUGGUUAAAUAAUAUUAAUAGAGACGUUUAUUAGUGUAAUUACCAUAUAUUAAUCGAAUAUAUGAUCAAAUCUUCGUAAUUUGAUUACCAUUAUAAAUAUUCUUUUAUAUCUAUAUAUAAAUGUGGUAUUGUUUUAAGUAGAGUUAUCAAAACGAAUAACCUGACUCGUCUCGGUCCGGCCCACCACGGGUUGGUGGUAUUGAUUGGUCACUUAGUGAGUCAGCUCAAUCCGACUCAUUUAUUAGUGAGCCAGAUCUGAACCCAGUUCGACCCAUUACGGGUUGGUGGGUAAACGGGUUGGCUCACUAGCCAUUUAAGUACAAUUUUUUUUUUAAAUAAAAAAAUUACAAACUUUCUAUAUUCAAAUUUAAACAAAUUUCACCCCCAAAAAAUGAUGUUAACUUAAGAAAAUUCAAAAUAAUAAUAAAAAGUACAAUAUAAUUCAAAUGUCAUAAAAAAACAAACACAAAAAACCAGCUCCUUGAAGAAUUUCAGUGAAGAAGUGAGAGUGAUAGCACCGUAAAUGAGAGCAAGUUCCGUGAGAGUGAUUUGUGAGAGCAGAGGUUACUUUUUUGGUAUACACAGCGAGUGAAGAGAACAUUUUAUUUUUUAGGGUUUCAUAAAUAAAAUAAUAAAUUAAAAAAAUAAAAUUAGGUAGGUGGGUUGGCGGGUCAACCCGGCCCAUCACGGGUUCAACCCGCAUGAGCCGGGUUGAAAUCUGACCCACACAAAAAAAAUUUAAUUUUUUCAAACCCAACCCGGCCCGAACCUAUAGUGAGCCGGGUUGGCUCGCGAUUGUGGCCCAUUUUGACGGCUCUAGUUUUAAGGAAUACACUCACAUUCUUAUACUUGCUACUAUACAUAAAUCCUAAAACUCUCUUAUUAACUUAAGCAUCGAAUAGUCUUUGCAACUGGAUCAUUCUCCUUUUGACAAGGAGGAAUUCUGUUCCAACCGUGAGGAACAUUCAAGCCACCCACUUCGAUCUUGCCAUUUGUCUAAAGGUCCAUGCUUAGAUCCCGCGUCCACCAUGGGUCAAUAGAACUGUAUCCUAUCUCCACGUUUGAUCUUAUCUUGCAUUCUUUGCUUUCAUAACACAUGUAAAAGAUUCAGGUUUGGUCAGAUGCAACAUCGUGCUCUACAAUUUUCUAUCUAUAUUUUUCACUACGACUAAAGCCACAAAGUAAUAUCUUUAAGAAGAUGAGCCAAGAGAUGCAAGAGACAGGCACAUGCAUGCCCAAGAUGGAGCAUGGUCGCAGGGUUCUAAUCUUUGAUGAUGACAACUCCAACUCCAUCAUCCAUACCGAUGCCAGAUCGAUGGUCAUCAAGAGUUUCGAGAACUCCUUUCAUGUCUCUAUCUAUGAGGAACACGCCUACCCCACCACUAUAUGUGCUUCUCCCCCAACAACGAGCAAUUUGGCAACGAAUAAUAAGGAUUAACUUAGCAUUCCAACACUUGAGUACUUGAGCAAGAACAAUUCAACAUUCCAACACCCGAGUACAAAAGCAAGAGCAACUCAACAUUCCAACAUUAGAGUACAUAAGCAAGAACAACUCGAUGUCCUAAUACCUGAGUACAAGUGUCUCUCAGUGUGAGUGUACCUAAGUACAAGUGCAGCUCGACGUGAGAAUACUUGAGUGUAGAGUAAAAGUGGCUCGUUGGCCUAAAGUGAAGGGCAUGUAUACGCUGUUUUUGAUGCAUCUUUGUGGUUGCGGUAAAGGCAUGUUUUGUUCAUACCAUCUAUGGCUUCUUUAUCUUCAUUACUUUGUUGUACUCUAAUAUUCAAUAUUGAGACUAGGUGACAGUACACGAAAUUUAUUGAGAAUGAGAAUGGGGUGUGACUUGUGUGCAUUAAAACAAAGAAGGAAUUGGAGUAAUUUAUAAUAGAAGUAUAAUAGGUUGGGGCCCCGUGGAAAAUUGUUUAAGGGAGCAUACAAAUGGAGGAGCAAACUUCUGAUGUAAAAAUGGGUAUUUGAAUCUUGGGGUGGGGCUGGGUGAGCGCUUAAAAGAUCUUGACUUUGCAUGGAAGAGAUAAAGUUUGUGAGGGAGAGAGAGAGAUUUGUAAGUGGUGGGGUCAUGAGUGGUUAAAAUAAGUAAGAUAAAGUUAUAUGGGUGGUGAGUGGUUUACAUAAGGGUGAGUGAGAAAAAUGAGUUGUAUUAUUUUGAUGGAUGUGGAGUUCAUUUGGGUGGAUAUAUAGAAUUUAUUUUAUUUUAAUGGAGUUGCAUGCUAGUUAUUAGAAAGGAGGUGUGUGUAGUAUAUAUUUUACUAUUUCUUAUUUUGGUUGACUUGGGUAGAUAUAUAGUAUUUUGUGGGUUAGUUGUCUUUAUAGAAAAAUGGUGUGUUUAGUACAUGGUUGACUAUUUUGGGUGGUAUGGUUGAUUUGUUAUUAUUUUGAUGAUUGUUUUAUUAUUGUUUGGAGAAUGUCUAGUACAUAUGAGUUUUUUGUUUGAUUGUGGGUAGGAUAUUGUUUAUUUCUUACGAAAUUGGGUUUAUGUUGUGAUGCCCGGUGAAGCUCCUAGAAGUGUGGUGGGAGUAACACUGGUACUUACCCAGUAAAGCUCUUUAAGAAUAGAGUGGUGGAGGGUGUAUACUUGCCUGGUGAAACUCCAAGAGAGUGGUGGGGAGUGUAUAUUUGCUCGGUGAAGCUCUAAGAGAGUGGUGGGAAGUGAUGUACAUGCCGGUGAAGCCUUCCAGGGAGUGGUGGGAAAUGUUGUGGUUUAAUGGUGUAGUAGAGUCUAAUGGCCCAGUGAAGCUCUUUAAUAGAGUGGUAGGAGGUAACACUCAACCUAAUAGUUGUAUGUGAGUAACCCAGUGGUGAUCCAAUAUAUAGAGUGAAUGGUUUCAACAAACUAAGGUAUGAAUUGGUGAAUGACUGAGGGAGUCUAGAUGUGAAUUGAUGACUUUGAAUUCUGGCAAUGUAGUUGUUAAUGAUUUAAUGUGAUGUCAUGUGAAGAUGUGUGUUGUAGAGGAGUUACUAUUGGUAGUUGUUUAUUACUUAUGUAUGUUAUAUAACUUGUUUAAGUUAACUCACCUUUUCAUGUUGUGAUUAUGGUUUCCAUCUAUGAUGAUCGUACUUGUACUGGAGUAAAUGGCGUUGCAGAUAAAGACCGGAUCGAAGUAGCUGACAAGAGUUGGGAUUUAAGUUCAGGGAUUUUAUUAUUGGUUUCUAUUAUUGAAAAUUUUUCAGACUUGAUAUUUUUAUGUAAAAGAAAUAUUCUAAGAUUUCCAGACAACAUUUAUGGUUAUGUUUUGCUUACGCAUUUUUAAUCAAAUAAAAUUUUUUAUCUUUCAUAAAUGUUUUAUGGAAAUAUCGUGUUUCGAGAAAGAAAUAAAUUUGCACCAUGACAUCUCAAAUAUGGGGUGUUACACUAGUUGAGUUGUUGGUGGUGUAACAUCCCAAUUCAGGAUGUCACAAGACGUGAUAAAAUCGAAAUUAUCUAAACUCUAUUAAUGGGAAAAACAAUAUUCAUAGAAAACUUUGAGAGGAAAUAAAACAAAGUCAUAACUGUUAAAAAAUAUUAUCCAAUUACAUAGUUCUAAAAUUUAUAAAAGAAAUAAACAACUUAAAUGAAAAACCCAAGUCUUCCCCGUCCUCUCUUGUCUUUAUUCUGCAUCAGAAAUAUAUGUAACAACCACUGCUCCAGUAUAACCAAAAUUCAUACAACCAACGCUCAAACAAAAAUAAAAUCAAGAAUAGGGUAAGCUACCGUUAAAACAACAAAUGACAACAAGAACAAAAGCAUGGCAAAUAAGCAAACAAGUUGGAGCCAGGCGAAACAUUAAUCCCUUCUCCACUAUCUCGCAUAAGCGAGAGAGUACAACACUAGAACCUCAUUCUCUUCUCGCACCGCACGGUCAAAGAGAACCUCUUUCCAGCAUCACACGGUCGAAGAAAACCUCUUUUCCACCACAAGUAGACACGUCCACCACAUCAACAUACCUCUUCAUUAAUAACAUAAUGUGAUAAUAUACAAUCACCCUAGCAUGCUUCAUCAUUAACUAAGAGCCAUCCACAAACCCAAAAAUGACAACCAGCUCGACUUCCUCUGAAAACAUCUCAACAUGAAGUCUAUCACAUUGACAUCCUCGUCCAUCUUUUGGCAUGCCUCAACUUUCAGAAAAUACAUUGGGAUAAUCGAUUAUCAGUAGUGAUAAUCGAUUAUCUUAGUAAGACUAAGGAGACAAGGUUCUCUGGGAUAAUCAACUAUUCCCGUAAGACCAGGAAUACUAAUGUUUUCUUGAAUAAUAAGGUUCACUGGGAUAAUCGAUUAUCACUAGGGAUAAUCGAUUACUCUAGUAGCAUAACUCUAGAUCAAAAUCGUGGAUAAUGUCAGAGUAGUGUGGCAGAAUGGUUAGCGUGAACAACAAACCAAGAGGGGGUGAAUUGGUUUCUUAUCGCAAAUUCAUGCCUUUAAUAAUUCUCUCUUAUUUUAAUUUCUUAGCGAUAAAUUUAAACAAAUAUAGAGAGUAAAAAGGAGAGAAAAUUGCACAGAUAAUUUUAUACUAGUUUAGGUCACAAGAAUCAUACGUCCAGUUGCUAAUCCCAAACAGAGAUUAAUGUUCCAUUAUCACAAAACCAGCAAACUGUUACAAUCACAAAGAAAUACAAGUUUAAGGUUUAGAAAGCACCUCCCGUUAUCCCAAGAGAUGAAACUCGCUUCCCUUGAAACCCAAAAUGGAUGAACACAUCCUCCAAAUGCUUCACGAAGAAUGACCAUCUCCUUUGAAUCUUCACAAAGGAUGAACACCUCCUUUGAAUCAUCACAAAGGAUGACAAGCUUUUAACUCAACAACAGUAAUAACACUCAACCACACUCCCAGUUAAAGUUCUCGCUCUAUGCCAACACACCAAGUUCUCAAAGCCAUAACACAAGGGUUACACAAACCCUAAAACAAUUAUCCCCGCACACAAUAGAUAAGAAUUUCGAAAUACACAUAUUUUGUAUGUUGUAUUUUAGAGUGAGAGUCCCAAUGAAAUUUAUAGAGAUCUCACUCAAGGAUAACUCCAAAAAUCUGUUGUCGGUUAUUUAGCGUGUAAUAAUCGAUUAUCUAGAUAUGGUAAUCGAUUGUGCAUCAAUGAAUGCAUAACAGUAAAAAACUUGUUUGAAAAAACUCAUAAUUGCUCGUGAUAAUCGAUAUGGCAAGUCAUAAUCGAUUAUUGAUAAUUGAUUAUCAUAAGUGGUAAUCGAUUAUCUUGAGUAUAAAAUGAGGUUUUCUGAUUCCAAAUGAUUUUUAACGUAAUAUAAAGCAAACAAUAGACAUAAUCAAAUAUAAACCACAUCUUAUAUGUCAAUCUACUAAAUUUCAAAAGUUUUAAUACAAAACAAGUCUUCUUGAAGAUCUUCCUGCAAUAAGAGCACUUGAAACUUGACUUUGAGACAUCAUCAAAAUUUCAACUCUUCAGCUUUAUGAUAACAAUAUUAGGUAACUUUCACGAAAACAUUUGGUGCGAAGAUGAAAAUGUACUCAUGUAUGACAUCAAAUGCCAUAGUUUUCGAUGUCAAAGGUAUAAGACGUUAGAAUAUCAUUUUUUUCAUACUUUAUUCACUUUAGCUUUGAAUGAAACUCUCUUCUCUACUCAAACCCUUCUUGGACGAAGCUUUCAGCAACGAACACAUGUAAUCUUUCUUUCAUUUUAUACAAAUGCACGUUGAUUAACUACUUUAGUUAUGAUAUUCUUUCCUUUUGACCAAUUGAUUUUGUGCAAAAGUACCCUUUAGAGGAUGGAAGUGUUCUCCUUUCUCUCUCACUAGCGACAACACUUUAUUCUGGCGAACCCACCCUCAAGAAGGUUAGUUUCAUUUUCAUUUUUUUAUGGGCUAUAAAUUGGUUGAAUCUAUUGGUGUUGUUGAUAUUGAUAUUGUUGAACUUGCUUGUUAUUCAUACACCAUAUACAUCCAAACUUAGGGUAAAACUGAGAGUAUAUUCAAAACUACUCUAAUGACCUAAAAAUUUGUUCAACGCACCAAAAUAUCAUGAGAAACCCUCACAAAAAGUUUUAGAUCAAAAUUCAAAGUCUAAGUAGGUGAUUUAUUUUUGCAAAGUUUGAAAAAGAAAUUGACAAAAAAAUAGAAAAGACAUUCUUUUGAAAAUCUAGAAGGAACAGCUGGCUACAUCGCCACAUGAUUGAAUAUUUUUUCUAUCCCAAAUCAAUAUAUAAUACUGUCAAAUUGGCAAAUCGGAGCAACUGUUAUGGUCUUCUAAAGACCUGUUACAAUUGACUUUUCAAAUAGCUUUUAUACUUCAUAAAGAUCCAAAGUAAGGCUCCUGGGAUUUUUACCUCAAAUAGGGAUUCUAAGGAGUGGUAAACAAAAAAUUCAACCAAAAAAAAAAGAUACCCAUAGCUACCAAAACCAAAAAUAAAAAAUUAAUAGUCAAUAUACACUACUAUUCAUUGUAACAUCAUUCACUUGUAAUAACUUUUGUUUAUAGUUCAUACUCCAUAGUUAACAACUGGAUCUAUAAAAUGUCAAAACUAGACAACAUUUGUUAGACAACAUUUGUUGGUUUCUGCUUUUCAGGUCUCGUAAAGUUGUAAACAUGGAUCACUAUUUAUUAAAAAAACAAAGAAGUUGAUUGAUGUCGAAAAAGGAAAAAAAUGACGUUAAUUGGCAAUUUCCAACGUCAAUUAACGUCGAAAAAUGCAUGCAACUUUUGACAUCAAUCAACGUCAUCUUUUUUUCGAUGUUAAUUAACGUCUCCCGAUAUGAUGUCAAUAUUUUUUAAACAUUAAAGGUCGAAAAACACCGAUGUCAAAGCAUUUUUUUUUUCAUUAGUAAGAAGUACAAUACUUGUUAAUUUAGUGUUACGUAUUGAGUAGGUAAUCUAUUAUUGAAGUCAUCUUAACUCUACUAAGCUCACUGAAUCAUAUAAAAGAAUGAAUUUUAUGUGAUGAGAAUUGAUAGAGGUACUUACUAAGAGGAUUAUAAGUAAAUUUACCCUCUCAGUGUAUAAAUGAGACUUUGUAAAUUUAAGCUAGUUGUGACACUUUUUAUUUAUGAUUAUAUGAUAAGUGCAUGAUUUCAUGAGUAUAAUUUAAUGAAUAAAUUCCUUUAUAAUAUGGUUUAUGUUGUUAUGAAUGAUGUAAGAUAAAAAAAAAUUGUGUGGUUGGGAGGUUAAGCAUAAAAAUAAUAAAUUAGGAAAUAAGAUGUUAACAAAAGUGAUGUGUAGCUGAAUUAGUGAGAAUUCUUUUUUAUAGGUUAAUGAACUUGUGUUGAAUCCUUGUUAAGUGCAUAAAAUGUGUUUGUUUUUUUAUUCUAUUAUUUGACGUGGAAUGUGGGUGUCCUGUUGUUAUUAUUAUGGUCUAUGUGGUAUGAUGUUUUGCUUUUAAUUUAAGGAUAGUGUCUUUGAACCUUGGCUAGACUAAAAAUAGGUUUAGUUCUUUUCUAGUUUGGUGGUAGACAGAUACAUCGAACCUAAGCAUAAGAACUUGGAAGAACAGAAGAUUAACGCAAAAUUAAUUUGUUAAUGAAACAAUUACAGGGUAAGUGUUAUGUUGUUUAGGAAAAAGGGUAACCUAACGUUUGUGAGUGUGAAUGCAAGCAAAGGAGGAUUGUGGAAUUAAGAGCAUCAAAUCAAGAACUGAUAGUUAUUAUCUGGAGAAGAGGUAAUGGGUGCUAAGCCUUGUCUUUAAUUCUGUGAACGAUGAUGUCUUCAUGUAAAUGAGUGGACGUGUUCUCUGUUUUUUUGUGAGUGUUGGGUUCUUGAAGAAGAGAAGAUGAAGGAGAUUGGGGAUGAGUAGUCAUGGAUAUGGUGAGGGAAAGUGAAGAAGAAGAAGAAAAUUGGAAGAGAGAUGAGGUAAAAUGGAAGUCACGUCAGAAAAAAUAGGACCCUAUGCUGGUAAUUAUUUAAACCGUAUUAUCCAAAAGAACAAAAUUGAGACAAAAAUAACGAAAAUAAAUUAAAACUACAUUGAUCAAACUCAAGAAAAAUGUGAACUAAAACAGUAUUUAAGUUUUAUAAUAAUAUAGUGACUUUUACACCAGUUCACGGUGGUUUGAUGAAGAAAUUACUUUUGCUCGAACGAAAAUUUUUCUUAAUAAAGGCCAACAUGUAUCCUGAUUAUUCCAAAAUUCUUGCACUCAAUUUGAAAAGUGUAUAAUUGGUGCAACAGGAACGAACAGAGAAAAACAGAUAUAAAACAAACAAUAAGAAUCUUCAGCAAAAUUUCUAGGUUUUCUUUUCAUUAAAGAUCAAAGAAUUUGUUUGAAGAAUAAAAUGUUUACAAUGCUUAAUAUAACAAAUAAAACUUUAGUUCUCUAUCUAACAAAGUUACUUACUACAAAUAACCACAACAGAGUUAUUUACUGUCUUACUGAUAUCUGUGAUGUUACGUGAGAACUUUUAAGGCCCAACAUGAAUAACUGAUCUUCUCUUAGCAUUCUCUACAUUUGUAAUUCCAACACAAUGUCUUUUGGUCAUAAGUAUUACCUCUUCUCAUGAUCAUCUUAACCAAAAUUCAUGAUUACCCCACUUCAGUUCAAUGGUGAUAUCUACAUGUUGGAUUUCCUCUCCCACCUGUUCUUGGUGUCAAGCCUACAAAAUAUUAUUAACACAUAAAAUGAUUGUGAAUUGCUCACAUGGCAAAGCAAACAAGCAAAAUAUCCAUAUAUAUACAUAGAUAGAGCAGAAUUACAAUACUAUAAAACACAACCAGUGCUAUGUAAUGUCAAUGCAGAGAUUAACCAUAGCUACUGAUGUGAUAAGUUAACAACCCAAUAGGUGUGAUUCAGCUGGCAACACAAGAGGGUUUGUGGAACUUAAGAUCAAUUAUAACAAAAACACAGUUUUGGGAGGGUCGAGGAAUCUUCACUAUAAUCAAACUCCAGAUCAAAAUUGAAGAUUAGUUUCAUAAUCAAUCCACAGAGCUUGAGAAAAUACCUCAAGCUGCCAACAGGAAGUUUAAUGCCCUAAUUACGGUUGUUAACAAAAAAAAAAAAAGUGACUAAAUCUCGACAACUUUUCACAUAACCGACCGAUGAAUCAAAACCUGUGAGAAUAUCUUAAGGUCUCACCUGGGUGACCAAAGCCCUAAUUAUAAUGAUUAGAGAAUUGACAAGGAUUAACUAUUGCAAACUGAGAUCUAUCAACUAAAGUGUUAUUAUCUAUACAUACCCCCAAUGCAAUUUUCGCUUAUUUGGCGCAGAAAUCAUAGGCAUAUUAUCCUUUGCUUCUUCAUUUCUAGAAUCAAUUCCUUCACAAUCAUUCCAGUAACCGGAUUCCUUGGGAUCAAUUUUUGAACCUUGAGCUACGCUAUCUUGGCUACAUAAAUCAUCACCAUGUGACUUUUUGUUAGCCCCGUCUGCAGAACCAUUGACGGAAUUAGAACAUCAUAAAUUAAUGAACCAUUACAAUUAAGCGGGGAAAAAGAAAGAAAGAAACCUUUGGAUUUUAGUUUGAACUUUGAUUUUGAUUUCACUUGCAAGCGCCUCUUGUGUAGUUCCUAUCACAGUCCAAUGUUCAGACAACGUUAACACAGAAGAACACCAACAAUCAAACGCAGUAGUAAAACUACAUAUACCCAUGUUUCAAAAUGUUGAAAAAAUCUAAAAUUGUCAAUAGUUUUGAACGUGGGAAGUGUAAAGAAUGACGAAAAGUGAAUUGGAUUGAAGAGGGUACUCACACGAAAUUUUUCGAGCUGGUGCUGCGUAACGCCUUUAGGUUUGAAAUUAGGUCGGAGGCAGGGCGUGGAUGCGAUUGCAGCUUCUCUUCUACGAUCCUCUUCUUCCUUUUCCAUUCUCUUUUCCCUUUCAUCACCUUUCGUAUAGUUCUCUCAAAUGCAUAUAAUCAUCAUUUGAAUAAGAAUACUCGUUUAGAAUAUUGGAUUCAGAUUUUAAAAAGAUUAUUUUGAUAUAAAACUUUCAUAUGAAUUUCUAAAGUAACAUCCAUAAGAAUAAGAAUAGAAGGACUUUUUUUUUUUUUUUUAUUUAGACGUGAAAAUGGGUAACCCGGGUGAAAAUGGGUAACCCGGUUGUGCUCUGGUUAUUUUGUGAGUGAAUUUAAAUUGGUUCGUUUAUCAGUGAGUUAGAAAAAUUCAAACUCGAUUUUAACCAUCACGAUGGAUAAACGAGUUGGUUGAUUUAUUUAAUUACAAUUUUUUUAAAUAAAAUAAUAAUGUAAAUAUCUUUUUAUAAAGUUAAAAUUAAAUUUUAAUAAAAUAAAAUUAGGUAGGUGGGUUGGUGGGCUAACUCGUGGUAAAUCGGAUGGACGUGCGGGUUGUGGUCCAUUUUAAAAGCUCUAAUAUUUUUUUCUUCAUAAAAAUAUAAUUUUAAAAAAUUUAUGUUUAUAUUGUAAAACUUUUAAAAAUUUGAAAAGAUUUUUGUGAAAUAAAAUUAUUAAUUGAUUUUUUUAUUACAUCUCUAUAUUUCAUAUUUAAAAGUUUCAUAAGGAAAUUAUUAUUAUUCCUUAUAUUCUUUUACACGUUUUCUUUUACUCGAACUUUAUACUCUUAUAAGAUAUUACUGAAAUACAUCUAAUUUAUAUCUCGAGAACGAAAAUUUAUGCUAAUAACCAUAAUGAAUAUAUUAGUUUCGUUAAUACGGUAUACGAUUAACUAGUUAAAAUAUAGUAAAAGAUGGUUAAUUAUAUUUUUAAGAUUUGAAGGAAAUAUUUUGUAAUAUAUUAUCUAGAGAUGCAUAAUUAGACAACAAUUUCACUUUACAGAUACAUUAUCUAAUAUUUUUCUUAAAGAUUGCAUCUAAUGAAGAAAGUUAGACGCACUUCAUAUUUGAUCGAUAGGCCAUCUAAACGGUUUUUCAAAACUUAUUUUUUUUUUUCAAAUAUCUAAUUAUACAAUAAAUUUUAAUUCAAUAACAUAUAAUUUAAAGAGAAAAGGGAUAAAAGUGAUAUACAUUAUGUUUCCAUAAUGGUUCAUAUGUUAACAAAGAUAACGUUAAAUUUCCAAUCAAUUGAUUGAAUUUUAUCAAACUGAGAUACUAGUUUAUUAUUAUUUGAAAUGGAGUGAUUAUUUAUUAAGAUUAAGUAUUAUUUAGAAUUAAAAUAGAGUAUUAUUUAAAUUACAUUUAUUUUUGACUAAGAAUAUGUUUUGUUCAUUGUAGUUCAUAUAAUUGAAUCUUUGUUUUAAAUUGUUCUUGUGGAGCUCCAAACGUAUUUGGUAAAGAUGAUUUCACAGACUUUUUCAAUCUUUUAUGUAUCAAGUGGGUUUUCAUCUAUCUUUUCCUUGGUGUUCGUCCUCAACGUAGGAUAGUGAUGUGUUUGCAAAAGACAUGUUAACACUCAAGUUAGUAGGGUGUGUCAGAUAAUAGUCAAUGUUGUAAAAAUGAAUGUCCCCUAUUUACCUCGACGAGUGUAUUAUUUAUAGGAUAGUUAUAAGUUUGCAAGCCAUCACCUAUAUGGACCUAGGUGGGUCAUGACCCAUUUACCUCAUGAGUCAACAUCUGAUUCAGAAUGUACUAAGUUAAAAAAUAAUAUGUCAUUAAAGAAUGUGAGGUCAGGUUAGGGCCAAGUAGAAACAGUCUGACUUAUGCCUGGGUAGAUUAGCUCAGCUUGUGCCCGAGUAGCAUUAGCUCGUAAACAUUAGAUCAACCCCCAAAUUUUCUCAUGACUUGAAGGCACACUAAUACAAAAAUAUCGUAUAACGUCGUUGUUUUUUGGCCUUUCACAUCGAAUUUGAGGUUGACGUCAUAUCGGGAGACGUUAAAUUGACGUCGAAUUUAAAAAAUUUGACGCUAAUCAAAUUGACGUCGAAUUUAAAAAAUUCGACAUUAAUCAAAUUGACGUCGAAUUUUUUUAAUAUUCCAUGUUAAGCAAUUUUUUUUUUGUUUUUCUUUUAAUUAAUUGUGAUCUUUUUUACAACUCUAUGAGACCUGAAAAGCAAAAAAACAACAAAUUUCAGUUUUUGGUGUUUUAUAAAGCAUGAACUGUGAAUGUUUAGUAUAAUAUCAAUAACAACAACAAACAACAAACAAGUUCAAUCAAACAACAAUAACAAACGAGUUCAACCAAAUAACAACAACAAACAAUUUAAAAAAACACAACAAGCAAGUUCAACAAAUAAGUUCUUCAAAACAAAAAUGAAAACUAACCUUCAAAAGGUGGGUUCGUCGUAAUAAAGUGUUUCCACCAGUGAGAUAGAAAGCAGAAUGCACCUAUGAAGGACAAGAACACCAAAAUAAUCGGUCAAAACAAAUGAAAAUCAUACAUAAAGUAGUUAAUUAACAUACAUUUGUAUCAAAUGAAAGAAACAUGUGAUGGUCAUCAAACUUUGUUCGAGAAAAGUUUGAGAAGAGAAGAAAGUCUCGCGCGCUAAGAUAAAGUGAAUGAAUUUUCAAUCUCUCGCUCAAAUUAAAAAAGAGAAACUUUUGGUUGACAAAUGAUACAUAGAAGCUCCUACAUAAUUCGACGUUUUAUUGGUAGUUUAAAAGAAAAAAGAAUUAAAAAGGGGUAACUCUUUGGCUUCUGGCUGAAAAGUAAUACGUCGAAGGCCCUACAGAACCAACAUAUUAUAUGUGGUUUAAAAGAAAAAAGAAAAAAAGAAUUAAAAAGGAGUUACUUUCAGGCUUUUGGCUGACAAAUAAUACGUUGAAGCCUCUACAGAAUUCGAUGUACUAAUGGUGGUUUAAAAGAAAAGAAAGAGAAUGAUGUGCUGCUUUAAAAUGUCACUGAUAAUUUUCAACGUUGGUUAUUCAGUGGUUGGACGUUGAACGCGUGACGUUAUACGUUGUUUUUGCACUAGUGGCAUAUGAAAAGCUUUAAUAGGUUCAGUACAACAAUUGUAGUUGGUUGUUAAUUGACUUACAAAACAUGAGAAUUGGUUCUCGGUAAUCGUUUUAUACCUAUGGAGAGUACAUGCAAAGAAAAGGAAAGAAAAAUUUAUACUUUGCAAAGAAAAAUUUAUAUUUUGUAAAGAAAAAUUUAUAUUUUGUAAAGAAAAUCGUAUAUUUUGCAAAGAAAAUUUAUAUCUUUAUCAAUAACCUUAUAGGUAUAGUAGCCCCAAACCUCGAGGAGCGUAACGACGAAGAGGUUUGAAUGAUGGGAUGUAGGUAGGCGACAGGGUAUAUGGAAGGUUUAACCAAGGUUGUUGAAUAAGUGGUAGAUACUGCAUGGAAGGUUCAACCUCAACCGACUAGGUAGGCGACAAGGAACUACAUUAGAAGGUUUGACCUAGACCGAUUAGGUAGUUGACAGGGAAUUAUAUGAAAGGUUCGACCUAGACCUUCAGAUAGGCAACAAGGAACUACAUGAAAGGUUCGACCUGGACCAUCAGGUAGGUGGCAGGGAACUACAUCGAAACGUUCAAACUAAACUAUUGGGUAUGUAUUAGGAAAUUAUAUGGAAGGUUUGACCUAGAUCGUCGUGUAGGCGACAUGGAACUGAAUUGAAAGGUUCAACCUAGACUUUCAGGUAGGCAAUAAGGAACUACAUGAAAGGUUCGACUUGGACUAUUGGGUAGGCAACAUGGAACUGAAUUGAAAGGUUCAACCUAGACUUCCAGGUAGGCAAUAAGGAACUACAUGAAAGGUUCGACUUGGAUUGUUGGGUAGGCGGCAGGAAACUGCAUUGAAAGGUUUGACCUGCACCGUCGGGUAGGCGACAAGAAACUACAUGAAAGGUUCAACUAAGCUGAGUAUCAUAAAAGGAAAAGAAGUAGUGUCUUGUAGUGGAAUCUCAAACUAUGCAUGGUUUCAAGGCAUUGAAAAUGAAAAGUAAGCAACUAGUGUGUUCAUUAUAAGAAAAUUAAUUGACAUUCACCUUGUGGUCGUGGGUUCGAGUCCAACGAUAGGCAUAAAUUAUUCUUGCAGAGCUAAAUGUACCUUGUGAAGAUGACCUACAUGGACUUCUUCAAUCUUCUAUGCAUCAAGUUGGUUUCCUUUAGCCCUUCCCUUGGUGCUCGUCCUCCAUGGAUGGAUGGUGAAAUGCAUACAAAAGAUACUUUGAUGCCCAAGUUAAUAGGGUGCUUUAGAUAGUAGUCAAUGCUAUAAAAAUGAAUAUCCCCUAUUUACCUCGAUGGGGACCUGGAGGGGACAUGACCCAUUUACCUCAUGAGUCAGUUGUCUGAUUCAAAAUGUGCAAAGUUAAAGAAUAAUACGUCGUUAGAGUACGUGGGGCUAGUAGAAACAGACCGACUUAUGCUCGGGUAGAUUAGGUCGGGUUGUGCCCAGGUAGCAUCAAGCCCCGUGUAUAAUACAAACACCAUAAAAAAGUCCUUGUGAACCUAGAAAAAUCAUUCAUAACAAAUUCAUAGUAAUUUCUUUCAAUACUUAUGGUUCUUUGAGGUCUUGUAGUUAAAACAUAAUUUUUCAGUUUAAAAGAAACUUACAUAACAUUUCUUUUAUUUAUUUUGUACCAAUUGAUUAUGGGCACAUAAAGAGGAAGAAAGGUUUAUGUUGUUAAAUUAAAUGAGUCCUAUCAAUCAAUAAGGUUUUGAUAAUAACAAAACAUUAUAUCAAAAGUGAAACUAUGAUUUGAUAAAUAAACCUUUGCAUUAAUGAUCAAGACUUUAUCACCAACUAAUGCAUAUCGAUGCAUGUUUACCAUGUAACAACAUUAGAUUAUCAAAUUGGAUAUAUAACUUAGAUCAUUUUUUUCCUAAUUUAAGUUAUAUGAGUGAUCAAUUUAUCAAGCAAUACGAAGCAAAUUAAAGAACUAACAUAUGAAAGAGUACUUGUGUUAGAAAAGUAGCCCCUAUAUGAUGGCAUACCCCCUAGUCAUGGACAAGAAAUUAAAAUGAGAGUUGAAGUCAUAUGUAAAAGAUGGGUCUAGACUCUUUAUCAUCAUUCCAACAAUUUCCAUGCCAUCUCUACUAAUUUUAGCCCAACCUAGCUAGGAGGAGUGCUAUCACUUCUUAUCCAAUAAAGUCAUGGAGGAGGUCUCAUGGGCCAUUAUGGUGUUGAUAAAACCCUUACUCUUCUGAAAAUCAAUUUUUAUUGUUCACACAUGAGAGUGGAUGUUUAGAAGCAUUAUUCCUUGGGAGGACAUUAACAUAGACUUUGCCCUAGGUUGAUCAAGAACCCAAAGGGGCUAUGAUUCUAUCUUUGUGGUAGUGGAUCGUUUUAGUAAAAUGGAUCACAUUAUACCCUACGACAAGAUAUAUGAUGCUAGCUAUAACUCAAGACUCUUUUUUAAAGAAGUUGUUAGGUUGCAUGAUCUAUCGAAAAAUAUAGUGUCCAAUAGGAAUGCUAAGUUCCUUAUCCAUUUUUGGAACACUUCAUAGGAAAAGCGAAGAACUAAACUCUUGUUCUCUACCGCAUAUCACCCACAAACUAAUGGGUAAGUUGAGGUAGCAAAUAGAUUCAUAUCUACUCUAUUGAAGGUCAUUCUUAGAGGAAAUAAAAAGACUUAGGAUUAACAUCUUCCCCAUGUAGAAUUUGCUUAUAAUGCAGUAGUCCACAAGAAUACCGACCUUUCUCUUUUUGAGGUUGUUUACAGUUUUAACCUUAUCACACCUCUUGAUUUACUACCUCUUCCAGAAACAACUUCUUUAUCACAUAAAGAAGGAGUGUAUAAAGUGAAGUUUAUUAAGAAAUUGCAUAAGAAGGUCACAAACCAAAUUGAAAAACAAACUAAAAAAUACACUGAAUAUGACAACAAAGGGAGAAAUAAAAUUGGUUUUUAGGAAGGAGACUUAGUUUGGCUUCACUUAAGAAAGGAUCACUUUUUUUCUUAAAGAAAGUCUAAACUUAGUCUUAGAGGAGAUGGUCCAUUCAAAGUGGUCUAGAAAAUAAAUGAUAUUGCAUAUAGGUUAGAACUUCCCAUUGAAUAUGGUGAGUCCCACUUCUAUUGUUUGUGACUUAAUUCCUUUCUUAGGUGUUGUUGAAUAUGAAGAAGAAGAAGAUCUAAGGACAAAUCCUUUUCAAGAGGUAGGGUAUGAUAGAGGACCAUCUAGAUGAAGCCACAUUGGACCUUUACAAGAGUUAUGGCUAGGACAAUGGGAGAGGAAGAAGGACAUCAAAGAACUCUGCUUUUAUGGAGGAUAGUUUAUUAGCUUAUCUUCCCUUCUCUUAAGUCUUGUAAAUAUGUAAAUAAAUCUUUUCCUUAAGCCUUGUAUUUAGGCCAAGGUUUCAUUUAAUUUAGGCUUGUUUUUUUGCCAUUUCUUUGGAUUACUCACUAAAGUAAUUGAUUAUUUCAUCCAAUAACUAAUUAUUGUAGUUGGUUUUUGACAAAACAUUAGUUUUGGACUUUUAAACUUGCUUCUUGAGUGGAAUACGAACCAAGUGGGUUUUUGGGCUUGCUUGGGCCUUAAGGAACCCUUAGAAAUCUUGCUUAAAGGUGAAGGGACAUUGUGCGUGCAUCUACUCAUGAAGAGAAUUUCUACCAAAAUUUAUAAUCUCCCUUUCCUAAGUUCAUUAGGAUAGCUAUCUUCUUAACUUCUCCUUUUCUUUGCCUUGAUGGUUAGCUUAACCUCCUUCAGGAAACACUCCAGGAAACCUGCAUUUGAAGGGUUUCCAUCAAGGCAUCUGUAGUUAACUGCAUUAAAGGUUCAUCCAUGACCACUUAGGUAGGCAGUAAAGAACUGUAUUGAAGGUUCAAAUAGGGUCACCUAGGUAGGUGGAAGGGAAUUGUAUUGAAGGUUCAACCUAGACUGUUUGGGUAGGCUACAUGGAACUUUCUUUCUAAAAAUAUCAUAUAAAUUUGUGACAAGUUAAAGUGUAAGAUGAACAUGCAUAUAGAAAUAAUCUUUUCUUUUAUUGAUUAAAUGCCUCAUUAAAACCUUCUUGUCCAAAAUCCUCCUUAGGGAAAAAUGUCCAAGUAAGGAAAGAAUACAUUAUAGGUUACAAUCUUCCAUCUAUUUACUAGUACCUAGAUGAAAUAAAACUUUAAAUGGGUUAUAUUCCAAAUAUUGGGUAUACGAUGCCUUAACAAGUAUUCUAAGCGGUACGCGCCUUUGUCAAUAUCUUGAUCUACUCGAAAAGCUUUUUCCCAAUUGGCGGAGAGCUUGCCAUCUAUUUUUCUAGCCUUACUAGUGACAUGUCACACUAAGCUACCUUUUCUGAAGGCUUUUGGCUAUAAUUUGGAGUUGUAUUUCCUGGUAGUCCUCUGCUUGGUAGCCAUUUCACAAAUAUGGACCUUUUCUCAGUUUUCAACUAACAAUUAUAGGCUUAUGUUAAGGAAGUCUUCAUAGUAUCUUAUCAGAUGUCCCACUAUUAACUGUGAAUGGGUCUGGCAUAUUAGUUUAUUUCCUCACACUUCAUUAGCUAGAGUAAAGUCGACUAUAAUGACCUCAUAUUCGGGUUGCUUAUUGGAUGUCUUGAAAUUGAACUAUAACGACUUCUCUAUCAACACGUCACUUUUUCUUUAAAGGACUAUACCGACUCUUGCCCCUUAGGAUUAGAAGAUCUGUCUAUGUAUAAGGUCCACCACUCUUCCUCUAAAACAUCCUCACCUUAUAGUUCACCAAAAAACUCUACUAAACAUUGUGCUUUUAUAGGCUUUUUCAAAUUAUAUUGAAUGAUAAAUUCUGACAAUUCCACAGACCGUGACGACAUCCAUUCUACUAGGUUCAACUUUUGCAAGAUCUUUUAUAUUGGGUACUUGGUUUCAUGACUAUAGUAUGGCUUUGGAAAUAAGGUCUCAACCUUCUUGUUGUGGUAACAAGGGACGAUGCCAUUUUCUCCACCAUCUAGUAUUUGGUUUUGACAUCUUGAAGGGUCGUAUAUAUGAAGUAUACAAGCUUUUGGUUAUUAUCAGUCUCUUGAACAAGAGUGGCAUUGAUGGCCUCUGUAGUAGCCAUUAUGUAGACCAAAAUUGGUUGAGUAGUAUCUGGCUUGCACAAGAUUGGGGAGAGAUGUCAAUAUUUGUUUGAGAUGCUUGAACCUAUCCUAUCAUUGGCCAUCCAAGAUUAACUUCACAAACUUCUUCAGCAAUUUUAUCAUUAGCCUGGUUUUUCCCAUUAACUUGGGAGGAAAUAGGAGAUGAUUGUUAACCUUCCAAUGAGACUUUGGAUCUCUUUGACAUUCUUAGGCCUCUUCAUAUCAAUCACAACCUAGUAUUUUUAAGGCUUCGCCUUUAUCCCUCUAUGUGAGAGCAUGAAUCCCAAGACCUUGCCACCAUCGAUCCUAAACACACAUUAGGGAAAUCUUAUCAAUGAUUUCUAUGAGGAAAUUUGUAUAAAGUGGUUUGAGGAAAACUCUAACUAGAAAAGGUAAGGUUCUUAAAUUCAUUGAUUGUUACUUAUCUUUCUUUCUUGAGAAUGUACUUAGUAAACCUUCAACUAUACUUUCCUAUGGAAAUUUCUAUGCACCCCAUAAGAACUAAUUUAGGUGGUACCAGUAUCAACUUACACCAUCCUUCAUUAAAAGCCCAAAAUUUCACCACAAUUAUUUUUAGAGGAAAAAGGAAAUUACCUACUAAUAGUACUUUCAAUACAACACUUUGACAAAGAACAUAACAAGGAGGAUCAUGAAAUUGAUCUAAACUUCAAACAUGAAAUACAAGAAGAGUCUCAAAUAUGAGAAUAGGUAGCAAAGCAAAAAGUUACACAAUGAUACAACAUGCAAGUAAAAGAAUGUACUUAAGCUUAGUGAGGCGACAAAAGAUAAACUUGAAAAUCCUCACAAUGCUACUUCAUUAGGGUCUUUCAACUUUUGACAUCAAUCAAAGACAACUAGCAAUACCUUUAACUAGAGAUGACAACAUUGCACAGGGAGGAUUAGGAAGUGAUUGAUCUUAUCCUUAGUCAAAAGUUAAAGACUCAACUCGAGUACCAAAAUUCCAUACUCAAAGUUCAAAUUAGGAAGUGUUUUAAAUAUGGGGUCGAGCUCAAAGGUUUACCACUCCACGAGUUACUAAGGGUCUGAAUGCUUAUCCUUACAUCAUCGCCAUUUAGUUUAUGGGCCAAAAUCGUUCGAUCUCAACACUAGUACAUGGUUGUACUUGUGGCCUGCCUAACCGUUGGGACGUCCGGUCUAAUGUUGACCGGAUGGUCAUACGGUACAAAGGUCCCCCAAGCCGAAGCAUAUUGUGUUAGGCUAAGGGAUUUAUGGUAAAGGCUAUCUUGGGUGCAACCGUGGGAGCAUUCCCCUUUUAUGGCCAAUCGCCUAACUAGGUAGAACCACUUGUUGUGAUUCAUGGGGAUGUAACAAUUGGAUAAAGUUAUAACUAUUGGGAUAGGGACACAUAGCAUAUUGAUAUUCGUGCAUUCUGGAAAACAAAGAGUCAUACGUUGUGGAUUGUUAGAUCCAACUCAAUUUGAUAGUCGAGGGUGGCCUGUUAGGAUAUCCCUUUUGGCUAUAAAUAGCGGUGGGCCUCAGCGUCAUUUUCACCAUUUCUCCCAAUCUUUCUUGAAGAACCAAGCAUCCAUACAUCAUACUUUCAAGUAAUAAUGUCGAUCAGUCUUGUGUCUUCGUCUAAGGAGUCUAAAAGGAAAUGAGGCCAAGGAUACGCAAAUGAUGCUUCUUCGUCGUCCUUAGUGCCAUCAUCGAUUUGUUCCUCAAUCUUAGGAUCAACCGAACGGGAUGCGAAGUCGGGUGACGAAGCGACCAUUAUAAAUAGAAAUAAGUUUGUAUCCCAAGGUACUAAGGAGGUACUAAGCGAGCAUCCUCAAGUUGCUAAACAGGCAGUCUACAUUGGUAAGCUCCGUAUAAGAUGCCAAGUUCUUCAAACUUGUCGUUUGCAAGAGGGACGAGUGGGUCUUUCAUGGGAAAGGGGCAGUCUCUAAAGAUUUCUUCUACACCUACUCCUACCUCUUCAAGGACUUGUUUGUCUGGCUCCUGUUCAACAAGUUCCAGAUGGGCGUGUUGAGAGAGCUUAACCUUGUCCCUACCCAAGUCCAUUCAAACGGGUGGACGCUCGUGCAAGCCUUUGAGAUGUUGUGUUCGACCUUCUAUUUAACUCUCACUCUUCCUUCAUUUUUGCAUUAUUUCCAUACUCGCCUACACACCAGAAGGGUUUAGUUUUCCUUUAUUUGUAUGAAAGGGAAGUGGCUUUUCACGUUGUUUGUUGCUUCCUAUAUCGGGUUCAAGACAAGUUAUGUAAAGGUUGGGAUAAUAGAGGUCUGUUGGGCCAAGUUUUAUGGGGAGUCCAAUAGGCAAAAGUUUCCCUUUUAUUGGAUCAGGAACCCUCGAAGAAUAACUUCGUGGGCCAAGACCAGGAUGACAUCAAAGGAGUUGGAAGUGAUAGACAUUAUUGAUCAAUUGUCUCGUUGCCUCCUCUUUCGAAGUCUCAUUUGCCGUAUAGAGUCCAAAAACCUCUGUAAAUUGGUGUUUGGUAAGAUUUCAUUUUAUAUUUGUUUUAUAAUUCGUCAUUCUUGACUUGGCUAAAUUUUAUGUUUCCUUUCAGAAAUCACGUCUUCCCUGAAUCCAAACAAUUAAAUCUUUGUAAAGAUCUCCACUUGGUGUAAGGCUAGAGGUGAAGGUAUAUUUGAUGCCCAAACUACUGCACUAAUCACAACACAGUGUCCAAAAAUUGCGGAGAAGACAUGAUAACAAGCCCCCUAGGCUUGAUCAGAGGGCUUCUCGACCUAAUCAGAGAGCGACUUGAUUAUCCACUCCUAACAUCCUUCAACCUACACCCCUACGUUUGUUCCUUCAAUCGAGAGAAGGGGAAGAGGAAAUAUCACUGCGAGAAGUCUUAUUCCUCUAAAAAAGGAGUCCCCAUGAAGCAAGGCCUUCAAGUUCUCUACCCUUUGGGGCAUUCGACAUGAGCUUCCAAGUGAGGGCUAGAACAAACUUUGGUUAGCUUAGCAAUGAAAAUGGCUUGAUAAAAUAAUAUGUCACAACCUCCUUGGAGGAAAAAUUGGAUGUCUCUCAUGCCGACCUUAAUACUUCCUUGAGGGCCAACAAAUUCCUAACUGUCAUUUGUGUAAGGCAACCAAAGUGCAUUCCAACUAUGAAAGAACCUAGCAGAAUUCAAUGGCGAAGAUGGAGGAUGCCUACAAGGUCGUUUGGUAGCUCCAGCGAAAAAAUGAUGACUUAAAGUUAGAGUGUGAAAGGCUUACUCAAUAGUAGACUAAGCUUAUUUAAGAAUAGGACAAUCUGCAUCUGGAUGAUACAUCUGUAUCUGGUUAUAACUAGAAUACGCAUCCUAAAAACUAAGAAUUCGGUGGCCCAAGGCACCACCCACCAGUUCGUCAAUGCUUGGGAGAAGGUAAGCAUCCUUCGGGCAGACCUUGUUUAAAUCAAUGAAGUUUGGGCACAUCCUCCAUUGGUUGUUCGCCUUCUUGACCAUCACCACGUUUGUCAACCACAUGGUGUAGGUGACCUCUCGAAUAAAGCUUGCUUUGUGGAACUUCUUCACCUUGACUUCUAUGACUCUUAUUUUCUCCUCUUCGGGGCCUUCUCUUCUUCUAUGCAAUGUAAGACCUAGGAAAAUUAGGAAUAUUUAUAAAUAAUAUUUGUAUGAAUAUACCAUAUUUUAAAUGUGUUGGGUGAAUACAUGUAAUAUUGUAUAAGUGAUUGUUACUUUUUGUGAUGUUUGAGGGCUACCAAAGGAGUUAAAAUGCGUAUAUAUAUUAGUUUGUGAACCAUUUAUUAGUUUGGGUGUGUUGGCCCGAUGGUGGAUACGUUGAAUAAAGUUUUAUCCCAGACUACUGCGUUUGGGAAUUUAAUUUCCUUUAAAGCAGCAGUAUAGACCUUUGUGUGAUUGGGUUGCCUCAUGUGUGGUCUCCAAGCCAAGCUGCUGACGUCUUUGUCUUGGAGCUGUUGGGUUGGUUGUUGAGGCUGGUCAGAGUGGGAGUUGACCGAACUCUUUGGACUAGGCUAAGGUGUAGUUGUAGGGUGAACUUGAACUAGUGGUCUAAAAGGGGUUUGUUUUGAGUUUUUAUUGUUUUAAUAAGUGUGUAAGCACCAUUAAGUGCAUUUAUUUUUAAGCUCAUAGGCAGAGGUGUGACAAAUUUAGGUCAAUUUUAGGAGUAUAAAUACUUAAUUUAUGAGGAUUAGUCUCAUAACUACACCCUAGUAACCGUUGGAGAGUUUUCAGAGAGAGAAAUAGCUUUUCAAGUCUGUUAAGUUUAGUGCUAAGAGUUAGAAGUUUCUAAGAGAAAGGUUAGCUUAGGAUAAAGGUAAGGGGCACUAACCUUCAAUGUCUAUGAUUGAAUAAUUGUGUGUGAGUGCAUGUUCAACCUAUUUUGUGUGUAUGCCGUGAAGAUGGGAUCUCAUAAUCAUAAUAUUUGAGUUAUUUUCUCAAGCCCAACAUUAUUCUGUUGCAUGUGUUUUAUUGACUGGAAUAGGUUUGUAAGCUUCUAUGGUUUUAAUUGUGUAUUUGUGCAUGUGUUCAUAUUCAUGUUGCCUUGUAGGUGUCGUGAAGUUGUAUGAAUCUACUCAUAAUGGCUAUUUUUUCAUUCCAAAUGUCAUUGUGUUGCAUGUGUUUUGUUGAGUUAUGUCCAUCCUUGUAUUAGUAAUUUAUUAUGGAUGAUUUAUAAGGAUUUAGGGCUUUUACAUGUUACAUGAACAUGAAACAUGAUUUUAUGUAUUAUAUUAGAUUAUUUUUUUUUUUAGACUAGGCUGUGUAGGGGUGGUAUUGGGUUAUGACGGGAUGUUAUGGCUUUAGUAUAACUUGUCCCCGUAUGUAUGUGUGAGGUGCAUACAUUGCUAUAAUUGAUUUCCAUGCUUCAUAUAUUGUUAUCAUGAUGUUUUAUGUUGGUAUUAAUGAGUAAUUGGUUGCUAGCACGUUUCUGUACAUUGCUUGGUUAUUUUGGUGAAGUUAGAGUCAUUUUCCCGGCUAACUGAGUUGUGCCGAGUUGUCCGGGCUGUCUAGCCGAGCUGGUUAGGUUGGUUGAGCUAUAGCCGAGUUGGUCGGGCAGUCUGGCUGAGUUGUCCAAGUUUAAGACGUGCUAGAGCUCGGGUUUUAUCAAAUUUGGGAUCGUUUUAGGGGGUUUUAGAUGUUGGUCAACCCUUGGUGAUGUUGGGCAUGUUGUUUGAGGUGUUGUUUGAAUUGUUUGUUGGUCGAGCUGUUUGGGGAACUCGAUUUUUAGGUUUUGGAACUUGUUUUUUAGAGUGUUUUAGGCCAACCUAGGGGUUUAGAACCUGACCGAGUUGUUUGUAGGGUUGAUUGAGCUCUUUGAGCACUUGGUCGAGUUGGUUGUGAGGUUGAGUUGCUUAAAAGGUUAACUAAGUUGUUUGAUGUGAUUGCUUUGUAUUGUGAUUGUGGAUCAUUUUUCUUCUUACGUACUUUUUAGCCGUGGCAGGUAAGACCUACGUUGGUGCGUGAGUCCUAUGUUUGACUUUUUUCACACAUCCUACCACUUACAAAAUCUAAUUUAAUCAAAUGUUGUCACGUAGUAGCCUCUUAAACACACAAACCCAAACCAAUGGUAGGGUGCCAUGUCAUCAACUUCUAUAUCAAAACAACCACCCAAAACCCUAACUGCCACCACCGUCAACUAUCAUGAAGGCAACCACUACAAUACCACUGAGUCGCAACCUCCACCACAACUAUGGCAAGCCCAUGUGAACCACUUCGUGUCCUCGUGCCACCAUUAACCACACUACGACAACCUUUUCGCAACCUAUAUCUCAUCCUCGCACCACUACGAAACCUACAGAAAAUAAAAACCCCAAGUUACGCCACCAUGUUCUCCUCCAUCAACAACCACCAUUGAUCAACAGAUAGCCCUCCUCGCAACCUGCUAAACCAAUAUAAAUCGCAAAAUGUGAAACCCAAUUGCACUAGCGCGAGGUAGCCUCGUCAGCUUAGUUCCACACAAAACCCUUGCGAGAAUCAUGUAACCACGAACUUGCAAAUUCAAAUCGCGAGCUAGAACCCUAACACAUUUCCUCCUUCACAUAACUAUGACGCAGAACCAUCAUGAACCACUGUGAAGUAGCAGUAACUUGUAAAUCGAAAACCAAAAUUAGAUUUACACCACCACGACAGAGCAACCCCUUAACACUUGACAAACCAAAUUGCGAAAUUCUUCCUUUGUUGGAGAAGAAGAUUUCAAAUCGCGCCUCCAUCAAAAGUCAAACAACCACCAUCGAAACCUUGAUUUUGGUUGAGAGAGGGAACUACAGCCUAACAGACCCUCAUUAAGUAGUCUCGCAUUAGGUCAAAUAGUCCAAACUGGUCAAAAAAUAUAUAAACUUAUUCAUUUAAUAACUUGGUCUACUUAUAAAAAUUAUUUAUUUUUGAAUAUAUAUACUUAUAUAUUUACCCCGUCGAAAAUAUAUUAUUAUUAUAAGGCCUAAAAUAUCCAAUAAGCAUGAGAUUUAUGUGUGAGAUAUGUAUAAAAUAUUAACACUCUUAAAAUCAUAAAAAAAAAUUAUAUUUACGAUAAUAUAAACAAAUUAUAAUGAAUAGAUUUCAGUUAUUAUAUUUGUUAACUUAUUGUUAUAUUUUGAACUUAUAUUAUUUGUUAUUAUUUUUUACAUAAUGAUAAGCCGAGGAAAAUAAAUAAAUAUUCCAUAUUGAAUUAAUUUAACUCCAUAUUUAUUCAAUAUUGAAAUAUCUCUUUGUGACAUAUUAGAGCUUACAUCAGUUUAAUAAAUCAAAUUAAUUUGUUUAGCUAAAUUUUUGAUAAAGAAACAACUAAAGAAAUAAAGUCCAUGUUCUUACAAAACAUGCUUGUAAUUAUCAAUAGCUAACGGGAAAAUAUACCCGGUGCCGCUGUUUCACUUAACUUCUUCUACUAAAAAAAUGUAUUCAGUGAAGCUAUUAAUGACCUUUUAAUUUAAUUUAAUUUAAUUUAAAAUGGUUGAUAGGGAUGCUCCUACCUUUUUAAAUAAUUGCGUUUUAAUAUCAUCGUACACCUAUAUUAAGAAAAACAAUAAAUAUAUUAUUUUAAAAAUAUUUUAUCAAAAUGGUACUACAGUUUUUUUAUAUAAAUAUUAGUAAAAACAUAUGUUAUUCUUUUAUCAUAAGAGACAAUAAUAAAACUAUUAUUAUUUUUAUUAUAAUUAUAAAAAUAAAUAUAAAUAAACUUUAGAAUUUUAUUCUAAAUAUUUUUUUCAUUUUAUAGAUACUUUUUUAUUGUAGAAAAAUAUUUUAAUUUUAAAAAUAAUUAAAUCUAAAAAACUGUUAAAUCAAAAAAGUAUUUAAUUUUAAAAAAUUACUUAAAACAAAUAUUUAAAAAAAAGAAAUGUAUACAAAAAUAAAUAAUAAUAAUAAUAAUAUAAAGUAAAACUUUUUAGUUGCUAUCUGAAUUUUUUCAAUUAUAUAUAUAUUUUUUAAAUCAAUAAAAUAAAAAUAAACUAUAAAAAUCCUUAGGAGCAAAUGUGUUCAUUCAUUUUUUGAUUUUAAAGUUAUCGGUCACACAUUGUAUCAUUGCUGUCAAUCAGGACGGCCAACACAUUGUAUUCUUUCCAUAAAUUUUUAUUAGCAUUUAAAGUUCUAAAUAGAAAAAUAUACUUUUAACAAUUUUUUUUAUAAUUUUUUUACAACUGUUAACAUAACAGAGUGUUUAUGUAACAGUUUAUAUUUAGUCAGUUUUAAAUAUACAAAUAAAUAAAAUAAAACAUAUUGUUAAAAGAUUAUUAAAAUAUGAUACUUGGUGAUAUAGUUGUAGUAUUUGGUAUUUAACAAAAUAAAUAUACUUAUUAAUUUUGAAAUAGAUAUUAAAGUUUAAUGUUUAAAAAUAUUAAAUGAUGUUUAUUUUUGUUGUUACUUAUAAUAGAAAAGAAAAUAAAACAUCUUAACAUCAACAUCACUCACACAUGCUUUUGAAAAUAAAAAACAUCUACAUCACACAGUCUUCUAAAAAAUCAAUCACCAUCACAUGACACCACGAAAUCGCACGCUGUUAAAUUAAUUAAACUAAGACACAAUAAAUCAUCCUCUGCGACUCUUCUCAGUUUCAUUCUAUCUCUCUAUAAACUGUUGUUGUGCUUUGAUUCCCUUCUUCUCCACCAUGGCUAUGGAGGACCUAACAUCGUUGUUAAGCGAUUAUGGGACCCUCUUCAGAGAAGACACAGACUUUUACAACCGCAUUGUGUUGGGCACCUUGUUGCCGCACACCGUGUGGGCCCCACUGCCGCACUUCUUCCAGACCUGGCUACGCAACUACCUGGGUGGUGUCCUUCUCUACCUCCUCUCUGGCUUUAUGUGGUGCUUCUACAUUUACUAUUGGAAACGUAACGUUUAUCUGCCCAAAGGUUUUUCCUUUUACCUCCUCUUCUUACCUUUAUUGCUUAUUCUUUUCUGUGUUAUUUCUCUGUGUGAACAUCUUGGUUGUGUUUUCUAUCCCAAUGGUUGGGUUUAUCGUAAGGGACUAAUAAAAAAUCCUUUUUUUUUUUUAUUAAGGUUUGAAUCUUGACUAAAAGAGAUGUUUGUAUUUAGUGUCUGACAAACAUCUUUGCAUGCUAAUGAGGAUAAAUAUAUAUGGGGGGCUAAAAGAUUAUGUUGUGUUUGGUUAAAAAUGGUAUAUUUUAGCUCUGAUAUGAAAUGGGUUUUGAUUAGUAACUUUUUUUUUUGUAAAGAAAAAAAAAUUGGGGGAUUUUGGAGUGUAUCAGUGGGGAGUUAAAAUUUUUGUUAUGCUUCCUGUCUGUUUUUUUUUUUUUAAAGAUUGCAUACUUUGGCCUUGUUAUUGAAUGAGAUUUUAUUAGUUUGUUAGUCUGGUUUCGGCUUGCAUGAUUUUAGAAGAAAGGGUACAAGAUUAUUACUCUGGCUUUUGGUGUUCUGGCUUUUGUUUUGAUAUACCAUUGUUACUUGUUUUGCGUUUUAGGAUUAUGGAGAGGAAAAUUGGAGUUAAAUUGGUUUUGGGUUUUCGAGUGUGAUUUUCAGUGGUUGAAUUUUUUUAAUAAUUAUUUUUCAUGGUGUUUAGUUGAUUGUCUUUGAUGGAUUAUGCUUCUACAGUUAUGCUGAUGUACAUGAUUCCAGCUUUUUCUUCUAUAGAUCUGUUCUCACAUACUGUGCGGUGAACUGUAUGAUUGCAUCUCCUAAUUGAUGUAUUGUGCCUUCCAAGGAUUGUUGGUGUUCUUGUUAUGGUAGUAAUUUGAGUGGACUUUUCCUAUUUGUGUCUGUAAUGUCUGAUACAUGUAACCAUCUCACGCUGUGAGAAAAGGAUUUUCUUGUUGUUUAUAAUGGUGCAACGUCUUGGGAAAAUGAUGCGGAGAGUUAUUUGUUUGGGGCAAAGCAAUGUUUUCAGUUUCAGUAUCCAUUAAGCUACCAUCACGGACUUGUUCUUGUUCUGUAAAACUUCAGUGAACCAAAUCUGAUGCAUUACUUUACAUUCUACAAAGUAAGGUUACAGAUUUGACUGUAUGCCGUGCUCGAAUAUUUUUGAAACUUGGACAGUUACUUUACCUUUUGAAAUUGCCACUCAUCUUCGUGCAUUACUUGAGAAGAAUUUUAUUGUUCUCUGCUAUGAUCUUUCCAAGAAGGAGAUUGUGACCUAGACAGGCUGUUUUCAUCAUUACAAAUAACCUGUAUGGUUUUAAGCAACAGUAUGCAAAUGCAUUUUUUGGUGUCCCUGGGACCACAAUAUGACUGCAAUUGUAGUCACAUUAACCACAUUUGUUUGCAACCUUUUUUGCAAUAUUAAGAUUCAAAAUGAAACUGUAGCUGUGACCACUGUCUAAAACAUUGGGUUUUAUACGUGUGGAGCUCGAAGUUUUACAACAGGGACCAUACUGCCUCUACCACUGAAUUGUUCUAUGCUUUACGAUCUAGUCAAUCGGAAGAUUGAUGUUCAUUCAUUGUUUCAUACAUAUAUGAAUUGACUAGAUUCUCAUUUAAAUAGCUAAAAUGCAAUUUUCUUUAGUUUUUCUUUCCAUACUAUAGUAAUUGUCAAUUGGCCAUGAAAGACAAUUUGUAGUACUCUGCUUCACCUAAAGCAGUAGCAUAAAAUAUCUUUUGUUUAGAUUAAUACAGGGCAAGUUUUUUAUACUUUACCUCUUGUGGACUACCUUCAGAAGUCUGAGACCAAGCUGUUUAUGUUCAUCUUUGGUCUGGCUCUAAAUAUUUUUGAGUUAUUGGUGGUCAAACUCAAUUAAGCAGAGCAAUUAUACUAAAGGUUUGAAUAUUAAUAACUAACGGUUUGUUCAAGUAUACUUGCAUGUAGCUUUUGUGUUGUUGUGCUUUUAAUUGUAAGGCGCUUAUAGGAUCUUUUGUAACUUUCAUUUCUUGAUUUAUUUAAAUCUACCAUUGCAGAUGCUAUUCCCUCUCAAAGAGCCAUGCUGUUGCAAAUAGGUGUUGCUAUGAAAGCCAUGCCUUGGUACACUUUGCUUCCAACUGUUUCAGAGUACCUAGUAGAAAAUGGCUGGACAAAGUGCUAUCCUAGAUUAUAUCACGUUGGUUGGCUUGCAUACUUUGUGUAUUUAGCUAUUUAUCUAGUUGUUGUAGAGUUUGGUAUUUAUUGGAUGCACAGAGAGCUGCAUGACAUUAAACCACUUUACAAACAUCUUCAUGCUACUCAUCACAUCUACAAUAAACAGAACACUCUGUCCCCUUUUGCUGGUAAGUACAUUAAAUAUUCAACAUUUAAACACUGCAGUCGUAGUUAUGUCAAGCUAAAAACCCUUUUCAGACAAUUAUUUUAACCUUUUAUAAUCCCUGACAAGAAGAUAAUUCAUAAUGACUUUGAAAAAUGUUUUUAAGUCUAUUAUUGGGUUAUUUCAUAAUUUAUGCAUGUGCUGUGGUAGAUGGUACUGAUUUUAAGGGUUGGAGUUUGAUAAGGAUGACAGUAUGUGAUUAUGACUGUGUUUUACUGGUGAACCUUGAACCUAAAUCAUUCAUAAUGCACCUUUAUCACGUGGAAUGUGAGUUUGGCAUGAUAUUUUUCACAUAGCUCAAAAUCAUCACUUGAUGUAAAAUGAAGGUAGUCCUUAUGAAACCAAGAUAGUUGUAUUUUUAAUUGUAUAUGUCACAAGUAUAUCAACGACUUAGAAUAUCUGCUUCAUCUUUUCAAAGAAACUCAUGAAGGAAGAGUGUGGAAAGGAAAUAUCGGUAAGGAUAUAAGGGAAAUAGAAAUAGACAUAUAAUGAAAGGAAGGACACUGACCAGAAAGAGAGAGAGAAUCAGUAAAUACUUUUAUUUGGAUAUCCAUGAACAGAAACCAAUCAUAUAUAGAUAAGAGCUGAGUAUAUAUGUAAAUAGAGACAAAGUUGUGUUCUUCAGUAAGAAUCAAGCACUACGUUCUUAUUAAUAUCCCAUUUCAUGUGACUUGUUUUGUCAACCAGUUUAUUGUGGAUAUACUUCUCAAUUUCUAGUAUUACUGUUCUUUUCUGCAAGCUGACAAGGUAAACUUUGCUAACAUACCAAGCAGUUGUUGGUACACUGUUUUGGUAGUAGAUAGAUUAGCGCUUUAACAGUACUGGUGCUAUACUCGUUAGUAAAGACAUGCUAUUCUAGUAACAAAAGCAUUAAUUUAUUCUAGUUUAUGUGAGUUACUUUUUGUCUCCCUUCAAAUGAGUGUCGUUCAAUUUCAUUGCUAGAAGCUGUUUUCCAUUUUGGCACCACUGUAUAUGGAUGUUAUUCUUUUUAUUCAUGUUCUAGUCUGAUUCAUUUUGUGUUUAACAUCAUCUUUAUUUGUUCUACCAUUUGUUUCUCUUAUUGUCCAUCUUUAGACAUUUCCACCUUUUCACCGUAACAUUUUGAUCAGAUGAAGGGUGUAGUGACCUUUUCCCCAUGUAUCUCAGGUUUGGCGUUUCACCCUCUUGAUGGGAUUCUUCAGGCUUUACCACAUUCUCUUUCUUUGUUUUUUAUCCCAAUCCAUUUUACUACACAUUUAGUUCUCAUUUUCCUUGAGGGUGUUUGGACUGCAAACAUUCAUGACUGCAUUCAUGGAAAGCUGUGGCCUGUUAUGGGUGCUGGUUACCACACCAUUCACCACACUACAUAUCGGCACAACUAUGGCCAUUAUACCAUCUGGAUGGAUUGGAUGUUUGGGACUCUUCGCGACCCGGAGGAGGAAGAUGGCAAGGCAAAGUGAUGAACUGCAGACUAGCAUUGAACAGUCAUAUUGGUUAUCUUGUUUGGAUUGUUGAAAUGUGGUUCCUUGCAUGUAAAGCUCAAAUGUGUUCUGUAUUUUUCUGGUGUGCAUCACAAGGUGAUUUUAUAUGUUAGAGAGACAGGGUAGAGGGUUAAAAUGGGAGCUUCUGUCUCUGAUUCUAUUGUUAGUAUAUGUUUAGGUCUUUUUCUUUCUCAGAUUGUGUGGUAGAGAUUGAGAUGGUAAUGCUGUUUUCUCCAUGUGUGAGAAUUGGUCAAACUACUAAUACUUGGAUUUGUUUCACUCUCUUUCUCCCUUCUAUAUGAUUCUAUGUUGAAAUGAGGUGCAAGAAAACCAUUCCUUCAAACUGGAUUCUGUCAUGGCUGUCUUUGAUCUGAGGCAGCAUGAUUGUUUUUGUGGAUUCUUUUAAUGGGAUUAGUAAACAUAUUGUUUGUCAAUCUAAUUUAGGAUUCAAUGAUCAUCACAGUUUAUUUGUAAACAAUUUAUAUCUUGAAUCAACUUUAUAAAUAUAUCCAAUUCAUUGUAUUGCCUUCUUAUGUGAAUAUUAAUUAAUAAUUGGUGCAUUGCUUCCCAUAAAUAGAUCUUUAGAAAGUCUUAUAUAAUCCAAAAGUCUUAAGACUUGAAAUAUUACCUUGCUUUCAAUAACUUAAGUGAUAAUGUUGAAGAUCAAGAUUAAUUAGAGUAAUAUGCGUUUGAAAAAUAAAUAAUGCAAAGAAGUAAAUUCUUGCAAACUCGGAAACUCAAGAAAAAAUAAAUGAACUAGAAAGGUAAAGAUACAAGAAAAGUAAAUGUAAAAAACAUAAAAUACCAAGGAUAAAAUAGAAACGGAUAAAAAAUUUAAUUAAAAUAAUGAUUCAAAUGGUUAUAAUUUCCACUUAAGUUGUCAUUAUCUUGUUUGUGGCGUUUGUAGAGUGUUUUUGUUGUAAAUAUAAUUUGUCACAUGUUUUGAAUACAAAUAACUUGUUUUAUAUUUCUUUUGAUGGUUAAAUCAAAAUAAAUAAAAAAAUACAUAAUAAUUAGGAUAGUUGUCUAAAAUCGUUUGCAUCAUUUAUGUUGAUUAAGUCCACGUUUGUAGUGAUUAUUGUUAAAGAUAAAAUCAUUUUUCACUCAAAACUCUUAGAUUUUGAAUUUUAAUAAAAUAAUAUUAAAAUGGGAUAAUAACCAAAAAACAAUUUAAGGUGAAAAUACAAUACUUAAAUUCUGAAUUUCAAACACACACAACCUAGAAUAUGAUUCCCAAACAUAGAAAAACUUAGAAAAACACUUAGGUCUUAGGAAAUAGAAAAACAUUUAGACGUAUGAUUAAAUGUUGUUGAACCCAAAGCGUCUAAGAGAGAUUAAGUUAAAUACUUAAUGCUUAUAAUAACUAGAAUAGGUACAUUUGAAAGAAAUCAACAAAGAUUCUUGCAAGAAAAUAGUGUUGUCAUAGAGCUGAUCAUUUAUGCACAUUGAGAUGUACUUCUUAAGAUUAGUGGUGUUAUACAAUCAAGGUUGAUUGUUUCCCUGUUGUUGUAGCCAGGAAGAGGACUUGGUGAAGUUCUAGGACUUAGAGUUAGUAUUGCUCUAAGGGUGACAGAAAGUGAGUGAUUUUUUUGGAUUUGUACUAUAGUUGAUAUUGAGUUUAUAGGAAAGCACAUUUGAGAGGAUUGUUAUUUGUAUGUCUUUCUUGUAAGAACUUUAUCAAUAUAGUGAAUCCCUUCAUCUAAGGUUGAUUGAAGGAAGACUGGACGUAGAUAGUGGGCCAAACCAGUAUAAACAAUUGUGUUAAUCUCUCUAUCCCUUCUUUUUUACCUUGUUCUUAUUCUUGAUUGAUUGCAUUCCAAGAAAGCUUCAAAGAUUUCAAAAAGAUUUUAAAAGAACUUUUUAUUAAAGGUGAAAACCAAUUCACCCCCUCUUGGUUGAAUAUAUUGGCCUAACUUUUUCUAUAGUCUCAAAUGAUACUCCAAAAACUUAUGUUGAAAAACACCUUUCUAAACGCACUUGUUGAAUAGAACAGAGAAAAACCUAAAGUGUUUACAAAAGCAAGAUAAUACCAUGUGCCAAAUGAUCUACUUCAUCCAACGGUGAAGUUUUCAUCAAUUGCUUAGUAUCUUAGGGCAAAGCUUAAAUGAUUAAACCCUACCUAAACGGUAGAAAACGUAAAAAACAUUUUGUUGUUCUGAAUAGACAUUAAAUGUCAUUAAACGAUCUUUAGAAACAACUAAAGGGAUAAGAGAAAAGACAUAUAUAUCUAUUGCAUGCAUAUCUACUUUACUUUGUGCAGAUUUCCUAUUACAAGCAUUCACUCGUUCCAUCCUACACAAAUCAGAAGUGGACUUUAAGAACAAAGAAGUCUCUACAUCAAAAGUCGUGCCAGGAAAAUCGUACCACCUAUUUUUAUCAAAGUACUAAAAAAGCAAAUAUGCUCUGACAAGUUGACUUUAACCAACGAUUGCUACAUACAACAAGAGUAGGAAGACUCAAAGAUCAAAGCAAAAGCUUUGUUUGACAAAUAUCUUUUUUUAGAAGCCUUUAAAUAGAAGACCAUUCAAAAAGGGAAUUAGGAGAAUAACAUAGAAUAACAUAUAGAGAGAAAAGGCUAAAGAAAACAAUGUCAAGAGAAAGCUCAGAAACACACGAGAAUAUCUUAGAGAGAAAAGCUCAAGAAAAGAAACACUCUCAAGCUUCAUUGUUAUAUAAGCUUACUUGCACAAGAAGAAAGAAGAGAGAAAAUAUUUAGUGAGUUUAUUAGAUUGAUUUGUAUUGAACACAUAUCAUCUUUGCGAGAGUUAUCAUCUAAGGACUUGUAAACAAUCAUUUGAUUGUAAUUUCUACAGAGAAUUAAAACACUUUACGUUUAACUUUGAGGAGUUAAACGGUAGCUAGACAGUUGUGUCUAGUGGAAACUAGGAGUGGGUGAAACUUUGACGUUUAACUUGGUGAAGUUAAACGGUAGCUAGUCGGGUGUGUCUAGUGGAAAUCAAUAGUGGGUGAAACUCUGACGUUUAACUUGGUGAAGUUAAAUGGUAGCUAGCCGGGUGUGCCUAGUGGAAACCAAUAGUGGGUGAAACUCAACUAGACAGUGUACCAGGAAGAUACUGGGAGUGUCUAGGGAACACGACUAGUGAAGAAUAUUGUGAAACCAAGAGUGAGUGAAGCUCGGUACUAGUCAGAGUAACGGUAGUUACUUGGAGUGACUAGGGAUACCAAGAGUGGUGAGAAUACUUAGUUGUAAUCUCGUUGAAGAUUAUAGUGGAACCCUCUAAGAUGUUAGAGGAGACUGGACGUAGCUCGGUGGAGUUAACCAGUAUAAAAAUGAUUGUGUGUUUAUUGCUUUAUUCUCUCUAAACGUUUCUCUUACAAAUCCUGCAAUUGCACUUUAUUCUAAUCAAUAUAAAAGCUCCUGUUACCAAACGAUUUUUUUUUUAUUAAAAAACAAGUUUUAUCAAAAUUUUGUAGCAAACAAUUUUAAACAAUUGAAAAACAUUUGUUACCAAGAAUUCACUGUUUAAACUGAUCUUUAAGGUCGAGAAUUUAACAACAUACGUAAACUUUUCAAACCUUGACAAAACUAUUAUAUUAUCUCCUUUAUUAAAAGUUUUCCUAUAACAUUAUUUCAAAGUACUUCAAUUGAACCUUUCUUAAGAGUUAUAUGCAAUGUAUAGAGAUUUGUUCAGUUAAGACAAGUUUUAGAGGAUUCCUUAAGGCCCAAGAAAGCCCAAAAAGAUGUUAUAUUGCAUUUUUACUCAAAGGGAAGUAAAAAAGAUUCAAAACAACACACCGUUUUUGUCAAAAAUAAUCAAUUAUCUAAGGCUAUAAUUGAUUAUUGCUGAACCAAAACAUGGAAAAAAGCCAAAGCUGGCUGGAAUAAUCGAUUAUCAAGGUGAAUAAUUGAUUAUCUUAGCUACUUUUGAAGAAUAUGGCCAAAAACAAGCCUGAAAGACAUUAAAACUUGGCUAAAUACAAUCCUAAAUGAGAAGAAACCUUGGCCCAAAUACAAGGCCAAAAAAGGAAGUUAUAUUACAUAUUUAAAAAGUGUUUAAGAGAAAAUAAGAGGCUAGUAGUUCAUCCUCCACAAAAGUAGAGUUCUUGGAGCUUUAUCUUCCUCUUCCAUCCUCUUUGUCAUAGCUCUUGUAAGUGGUCUAAUAUGUCCUCUUGAUGGUCCUCUAUCAUUCUCAGAUUCUUCCUUUAAGCCAAGAGUUGGUGCAAAGAGUUUUCCAUUAAGCUCAACCAUGUCGAUUAUUGAGAGUAGGGUAAAAGAGGUAUUUUAGGAAGAAAAAGUCAUUGAAGUAAUAUGGGAAGUAAAAUCACAAGGGUUUAAGAUUUCUAAAGAAAAUGGGUGUAGGGAGGAUCAAAAAGUAAAAAAGUAGGAGAACAAAUGUUAGGCCCAUAAAUGAGCAAAAGGAAAGAUUAAGGGGAUUAUAAAAAGAGAGUUGAAAGAUGUUACAAUUGAAAUGUGAAUGGAAUAGGUUUGAGUCCACUAAGAGAUAUAAUAUUAUAUUUUUGCUUUAGUAAUGAUCUAAUGGUUAUACUGAAGUAGGCAUGAGUAAGCAUUAAAUGCAAAGGUUGUCAAGAGCCAAGUGACAUUUCUUACAAUCAAUGUAAAAACAUGCAAGGAAAAGAAGGUGGAAGGUCUUGGAGUCAAAGAGUUGAAUUGUUUUUAAGAGAAUACUUAUUUAUGUGAGGUAUGACUCAAUAUUCUCUUAGGGGCCAUCUAUUCAGGGCAUCGGGGCAACAACCAAAAAAAUAAAUAAGCAAAUUUUCAUACAAAGAGUGGAGAAAGAUCAAGACAAAAAGGACCGAGAAGAAGAAUCGAGCAAAAGGGCACUAUUAAGACAUCAAAAGAAUCUUGAUCAAGAUAAAAUAACAUCAAAAGAAGUUAGAUCAAGGUAAUGAGUAAUCAAGAAAAUGAUAAUCGAGAUAGAGGUUGAAACUAAAUCGAGAAGAGUUGUUAUUUCCAAUAACUGUUAUAGAUAUGGAAUUAAUGGGAACAUUUGAGACUACAUAGAUAGUUUUAAGAAAUUACUUCAAUUUAUGUAAUUUUUUUUUAUUUUAAUUACCAAGUAACUUCUAAAAAAGGGGAGAAAAUAUAAAUAGACAGUUCAAAUGUAGACAAGAAAUGGUAAAUCCAACAUUGGUUGUAGCAAUUUAAGUCACCACUUUCAUUAAUUUACUUUACCAGUCCUUAUUUUAUCCUUGAUAAUUUAUUUUCCUUCUUUUUACAUUUUUGUAAAUCAUUUUUCUCCAUUCUCUUCUUCAUCUAUAAUUUCCAUUUUAUCUUUUUCCUUCGUCCAUCAUCCCAUUUGUUGAAAAAUAACAAAAAAACCUAAAAAUAUUAAUAUUGAAAAAAAUGCAUGAAUUGUUGAUUAAAGUCCAUAAUAAAAGAGAAUUUUGUGAUUAAAGUUUUUGUGACUUUGAUUAAUAAUAUAAGUGAAUUGUUUGUAAAAAAUGUGAAUGUAUAAACACUAAAAAACUUUAAAUCAAAUUGAAAAACUUAUAAAUUUGCUAGCUCAUUACAUUAAGUAGAUGUUAAAAUUGUGAGAGCAAUAUAUGUCAACCAAGAAAGGGGUAAAUUGGUUUAAAACUAUUUUUAUCCUUUUUGAAAAUUUUCUAGUGUUUAAAACUGCUUUCAAUGAAUUUUUCAAUCUUUAAAGAAUUUAACAAAUUAAUAAACAAGAACAAUGAAAGAAAUCAACACAAAGAUUUAUACUGGUUCAACUCUUCAAGAGUUUACAUCUAGUCUUCUUCUAACGUGAGUUGGAAGGAAAUAAUUAAUAACAAGUGUCAUGAUUAUAGAAUACGAUGUACUCUAAAUCUCUAAUCACAACACAAACAAACUCUUAAGGGUGAGGCUACACAAACUCACACUAGGAACCAAGAACACAUUCUUAAAUGUAAGGUUACACACACUCACACUAGGAAUCAAGAACACAUUCCUAAAGAUAAGGCUACACACACUCAAACAAGGAACCUUGCCUACAUAGUAAAGGCAACUACAAUUCACAAAGAGUUAUAGAAAAAAAAAAUCAUGGUACACCUCUAGUGCUAAUAUUACAAAGAAACCAAAAUUCAAAUCCUUCCUUGAUCUUUUCUUUCACUCUUGAAGCCUUGGAACUUGAAUUUCCUCAAUUGAUGUUUGACUUCUCUAAGAAUGCUCCAAGGCCUUCCAAAGAACGUUUUUGUUUCACAAUUGAAAGCUCUAAGUAUGUUUUAUGUACCUACAAAAGAAAUGAACCACAUAUAUAUAGCGAAAGCACAUAUCUGUCAAUUUUAAUAGAUUAGAUUAUUUCUUUAAUCAAUUAAAAUUUACACAUAGUUUUAAUCAAUUAGAUGAUUUUCUUAAUUGAUUAAAACAGAGAGUAAUCUUUCUAGUAUGCAUCAGACCAUUUUAAUCAAUUAAAUUGUUUUCUUAACCGAUUAUAAUUUACACAGUUUUAAUCAUUUAACUAAUUUUCUUAAUCAAUUUAAAAAAAAGUAAAACACCAGCUUUUAACAGUUUUAAUAUUGAGUACAUAUCAUCAUAUAUUCAAUAUAAAUUGAUACCACGUAUAAUUAAUCAUAAUCAUAGUUUCAAAUUUAUUUAUCAAGUUAGAAACAUUAAUCAACAUCAUGAAAAAUAGUUAUUCAUUUAUCAUGAAACCAAGUUAAGAACAUAAUUAACCAUUCAUUUGGGUUACUUGAAGUAUCAACAGUAUAUUGGUUUCACUUAGUGACGUUAUAAAUACAUCAAAUCUAAUCCUCGAGGAACAAAAUCAUUUUUAGUUUCAACAUAUUAUGAAGUCUGAUUUCAGUAAAUUUAAUAUUAUUUUAUCACAAGCAUUAAUUUGAUGUUUUAUGUAUGAAAUUCUUUUUAAUAUAUUAAUAUAUAUUGGUACUAAUGUUUAUAUAUAAAAGAUAAAUGCAUAUGAUUUAUUGUGCAAUAUAAAAUAAGCAUCUGCCUCUCUUUUUUAAGACUUUAAAAAAUAGAAAAAUAAUUUCAUAAAUUUAUAUUUUCACAAAAAAUUAUAAAAUUAAACUAUAUGUGAUUACCUUAAUUAUAUAAAAUAAUGAAUAUAUACCUUUAUUAAAUUAUAAACUUAAAAACAUUUUAAUUAUUUUAAAUUAAAAUAUUCUUUGUUAUAUUAAUAAUCUUAACAAAUAUUCAUUAUUUUGGUAAUCGCGCUAGUUCUAAACUAAUU
This 46144-nucleotide long non-coding RNA is filed under the name Vigna radiata. Its description in RNAcentral is "long non-coding RNA (VRAD_LNC000402)". Lineage: Eukaryota; Viridiplantae; Streptophyta; Magnoliopsida; Fabales; Fabaceae. The record is from RNAcentral.